RNAcentral lists this long non-coding RNA (61301 nucleotides) under Gossypium raimondii (Peruvian cotton). RNAcentral describes it as "long non-coding RNA (GRAI_LNC007529)". The record is from RNAcentral. Lineage: Eukaryota; Viridiplantae; Streptophyta; Magnoliopsida; Malvales; Malvaceae.
GGUUAUUUAGUUGGGUAAACUUUUUUUUUAGGUUUUGAGUAAUGAGUUUAAAUGUUAUUGGCUAAGUGAUUUACUAUAUAUAAUAAUUAUUAUUUAAUAUAUAUUAUUAAUGUAAUAGGCCAUUUUUGUCCCAGCCCAAUAAAUACAUAAUCCAUUUUUACAAAUAACCUAAACCCAUUAACCAAUUGAACCCAAUAAAGACCAAAAAUUAACCCUAGCCCAAUUACAGAGUGGCCCAAAAAGUUCAAAGAUCAGCAGAAACCCCAAGCAGUUUUCCCAGCGCCGCACACGUCCUCAUGUCGCAGCAACAGUCCCGUUGCUCCACGUUCUUGCUCGCACGUCCAGUAGCCCCGCACAACGCACGUUUUCCAUACACAUGCAACAAACAAUCGAUAAUGGCAGAAAAUAUGACAAAAAUGUAAAUGGGGGGAAGUUUUCGAGGGCUUGUUUUUUUUGAUUCGGCUAUAUAAAGGCCAAUCGAUCUUUGUAACGGGGUUAGCAAUUUUUUUUUGUACCGAAAUCAAAAAGAAAAUAUACAGAAAAAUAUUUUUGAAGGUGGGAUUUGGUUUUAUUUUUCUCUGUUCCUUUACUGUUUUUUUUUAAAAACUUAUUUUAGUUCUUUUCUUUUGCUUCUAAAAAACAACAAAUAAACAAAACGAGGGAGUAAAGGGAACUUACGCGUCGUUGAAGCUCCUUCGUUUCAUCGCCAUAGGAGCAGAGGAGGGCAGAAGGAGAACAUUACGGCGCAAUGUCAAAGAAAGAAAGAAAAUGUUCUUUUUAGGGUUUAAAAAGGGGGUUUUUGUUUGAUUUAAAGUUGAUGGGUUAUUUGUAAUUUAGGCCCUUCAUUUUUUUAUGGUUUUCAAAAUCACUGUUUUUUCUUUUUUUAUUAUUUUCAAAUUUUUCCAUGAAACAUUGUUAAUGUUUUGAUUUAAUCCAAUGUUGCGCAUUGCUGUGCAGUGUUUUUUGGGUAAUUUUCUCCUUCAGUCCUUCCCCCGUUGCGCAUGUUUUGAAUUACUCCUUUUCUUGUUUUUAUUUUCAAAUUCAGCUCUCAAAUUUUGUUGUUUUUUUAGUUUAAUCCUUAAUUUGCUAUUUUGGGUUUUUUAUAUAUUACAUUAUUAUUACUGAAUUAUUAUUAGUUUAUUAUUAUUAUAUUAUAUAUUUUUAUUAUUAUACUUACCGCAUAUGCAUAUUAACACACGUUUUUUUUAUUUCUUAAAUGUUGUAAAUAUAUAUACUAUAUACAUAUCAUAUAUUUUAUUAUUACUUUAGUUUUCUUAGCUUUAUGUACAUAUGUAUGCGUAUAUAUUCGUAUUUUAUAAUACUUAUAUAUUUUCUCUAUCUUAUAGUCCAAAUACUUUUUAUAAUAUGAUAUAUAUAUAUAUAUACCUACAUUAUUCGACACUUUUAUAAAUAUAACUUUCAAAUCUCUUUUAUAUAUGCAUAUAUAUCCAUAUUUUUUUUAAAAUUACUAGUAUAUUAUGUUUGUAAUUUUAUUUUUAUUUUUAUUUUGUAUAAAUUUUAUUUUUUAUUUUUAUUUUGUUAUUUUUGUUAUUUUUGUAUACAUGUAUAUAUAUGCAUCAAUAUCUUAUCAUACUUUUUAAAAAUAAAUAUUUUGAUUUUAUCAAAACAUUAAAAUUAUUUUUUAUGAUUCAAAGGUUUUCAAAAUAAAAACGAUAUUCAAAGUUAGGGAUUUUCGAGGAAAAUUGAGCCCUAACGUAUUGGGUUAAUUCCAAAUAACCGAGAAUAUUCGUUAUUUAAAAUAUAAACAAAAAUCAUUUUCAGGAAUUUAAUAUGUUAUGUCCUAACGCAUUGGGCAUGACAUAUUGCUUUCUCGAAAUGAAGAUUUUCUUUAAAAAAAUUAAUGAAAAAGCGAUAUUCAAAUUCGGGGAUUUUGAGAAAUUAUACCCUAAUGUAUUGGGUCUCAAUUUCUUCACAUGACUUGAAUAAUUGAUUAUCCUUUUCAGAUUUCAAAAUUUGAGUUCAACAAAAUCUUUUUAAUUUUCGACACCAAGACAUUAAAUAAUCAAUUUGGUACCGAUUUUUGGGCGUUACGAGGGUGCUAACCCUUCCUUGUGCGUAACUGACUCCCAAACCUGUUUUCUCAAAUUUCGCAGGCCAAAAUUGUUUUUAAGGUGAACCGAUCACACCUCAAUUAAGGAUCGGUGGCGACUCCAAUUUUUGUUUUUAAAGUCGAUAACUAAAUUUUUGUUUUUCAAAAAAUGGUUUCGACAAUUAAUAUAAUUUUUUUUAUAACAUAAUAUAUUCAGGCCGAGCCCGAGUCAAAAAAUAUUAUUCAAGACUUGGCUUAUAUAGAAAACAUACCUUAAAUUUUAUCAAAUUUAUUCGGUCGGGAUCGGUUAAUAAAAUUUUGGAAGUUUAGGUAACGGUUAAUUCGGUUCGAAAUUGGUCGUUUAACCGAAUUAACCGAACUUAAUAAAUAAUAUUAUAAUAUAUAAGUAUUCAGUCGGGGGUCGGUCGGUUUGGUUAAUUUUUUGGAAGUAUAAAUUAAUCGAUCGGUUAAUUCGGUUAAUUUUUUUAUAUGUUUUAUACUUGUUUUAACCAAAAAUCAAAAAACAUAUAAAUUUCGGUUAAUUCGGUUAACCAAGCGAAUUAACCGAAAAAGUUCAGUUCAAUUAAUUUUUUUGAAAAAAUUUCGGUUCAAUUAACAAUUAAGGGUUUAAAAGGGUCAAUUAAUUUAGUUAAUGGUAGUUUGAGUCGGUUAACCAAUCGAAUAACCGAUUGAACACUCCGAAAAAAUGUAGGUCCCAAAAUUAUAACAAUGUGCAUAAAAGAAAAAAACUAUAUACAAAGAUUAAAAUAAUUCCCCUAUGAAAACCCCAAAGUGAAUCACCCCUAAAAAUAUUAAUGAUGAGAUUUUGAAAAUUAAAAACUUGGCAACUUGAAAUAAAAACAACUUCAAUAUCUUACAAAGAACGAACAAAAUAACAUCAAAACAAUAAAUUUCAUGUGUUCACUUAAUUAAAAAACCAACUAAUCAUUUGAUAACUAAUAAGUAAAGGCCUUGCGGUCGAUUCUUCUUGGGUUGUCGUGGCCGAAUUUCUUCAUGAAUUUUUGGGCUCCCAUGUUGCCCAUUUGCUCACAAAAUGGACCUCCUUAAAUACCUUCCAAUCGGCUUGUAAAAACCAAACAAAAUGUUGUUCCAUUUUGGGCAACAUGUGCAUUAGCUGUUUGGCCCAAUUUAAAACUUCUUCGUGCUUUGACAAUAUUAAUAAAAGUCUAUUACUCGGCCUAUUUACUUGGUCCUAAAAUGGCAAAAAUUAUUACAAACAAGUAAAAAUAGAAAGUAAAGGAAAUGACUAAGAACACUAGAAGUUGCUACAUUUGGCAACUUCCCGGAUUUUCAAUUUCAGCGGAUAUGUAGAUAUUGAUCAACUAUUCAUUAUGUUGAAAUGAGGUAUGAGGGGGCCGAGAAUGAGAUUCCUAAAAAAUAGGCCAGUGGGUUGUUUUCCAAUGUCUAAAAAAGAGACAUGCAAAGUUACCAGAAUAUAAAAAUUACCCAAAAUGAUAAUUUCAACUAUAAUAAUUUCUCAAAAUGGUAAGUUUUCAGGAAUGGCCAAAUUCAACCAUUGUAUUUUAUGCUUGCAUAUUUUGAUCUCACCAGCAUCGUGAGCCAACCUAUAAAGGCUGGAAAUGAGAUUUUGAAUGUUAAAACUAAGUUUUUAUUUCAUUUGACACACCCAACAAAUCCUUCUAUAUGAUUUUAUAGGAUCUCAUGGUUCGUAUCGCUAUCAAAGUUGGCAAUCUCUAAAAAAAAAAUCUAAAUUUUUUGUUAGGAUUUAUGCUUAUUUCAUCAUUAAUUACUUGUUAUAUUUUGAAUUGUUUGGAUUAAAUAAAAUUUUCACAUGAUUAUUUGAUAUGACUUUUGUAUGAAAAACAAAAUGAAUAAGCAAAUAUUAGCUUAUUGGUUACCUAAUAUUUAACUAAUAUUAAGUUUCAUUAUAUGUAUUAAUUAUAACGUAACAAACUUAAAAUAGUGCAUACUGAAGAAAACAUAAAUAUUAGGAUAAAAAAGAUGUCCCUUAUUCUCAUUGACCUCAAACAUAUAUAUACGAAUCUGAAACUUCUACAGAAAUAAACUUCUAUAUCUGUACAAAUCAAGAUUUCCUAUACAGAGUAACUACAAAAAAUACAUUCACUAAUAUAGCUAAAGAUCCUAAAAUAUCAUUCCUUUAGUUGUUGCACUGAUUUAUCCAACUUUCCUCAACACCCCCCUUAAGUUGGAGCAUGAAGAUUUGAAAUGCCCAACUUGCCAAGAAGAAACUGAAAUUGAUCAAUGUCCAAAGCUUUAGUGAAAAUAUCAGCAAGUUGGAGAGAAGAACGCACAUGAGUUGUUUCGAUAUUCCCAUUUUGUAUCUCCUCACGAAUAAAAUAGCAAUCAAAUUCGAUCUGUUUCGUACGCUCAUGAUAUAUAGGACUUGUUACAAUAUGUAAAAUGGAUUGACUUUCAUAGUACAAAUGCAUGGAACCAAAAUGAUCGACACCAAGAAAUAGAAACAAAACCUUCAACGAUUUAAGUUCACAAGCUACAGUAGUCAUUGAUCUAUAUUCUGCUUUGGUAGAAGAGCGAGAAAUUGAUUGUUGUUUCUUGGUUUUCUAAGAAAUAGGAGAUUUGCCCAAACUAAUAAAAUAACCUGUCAAGGUGCGUCUUGUCAAGGGACAACUCGCCUAAUCUGAGUCAAAAUAAGAAUACAAAUUAAGAUCAAAAUUUACUCGUAAAAGAAUUCUCUGUCCAAGAUUACCCUUCAAAUAUCGUACUGCUCGCAAUGUUGCUUCCCAAUGAGCCUUCUUUGGUUGUUGCAUAAAUUGAGCAAGAAUAUGCACAUAGUAACUCGAUUCAGGUCAUGUAAUAGUUAAAUAGAUUAGUCUUCCUACUAGUCGACGAUAUUGAGCAGGGUCAAGAGCAUCCUCCCCUUCUAUAAGAGCAAGUUUAUGAUUCUGCUCAAGUGGAGUUUUCACUAACUUAGCUCCCAACAAACCGACCUCAGAGAUAAUAUCCAAGGCAUACUUUCGUUGACAGAAAAAAAUCCCUUCAGCAUUUCUUGCCACUGUUAUACCCAAAAAAUAUUUCAACCAUCCCAAAUCCUUAAUAUGGAAACAACUUCUCAAAUACUCCUUGAAUUGUUGCACAGCCUUAGCAUAAUUACCUGAAAUAAUGAGAUCAUCCACAUGAACAAGAACAUGUAUUUGCACACGCCGUUUGCGAAAAACAAACAAUGAAUAGUCUGAGCAAGAUUAAUGAAAACCAUACUCCUUUAAAAAAUCCGCUAGCUUAGCAACCAACAACGUGGUGCCUAGCGUAAGCCAUACAAAGACUUGUGAAGUCUACACACUUUUCCAAGACUUUUCAGAGGCAAAACCCAGUGGCAUUUUCAUGUAAACUUCCUCAUUCAUAUCUUCCUGCAAGAAAGCAUUUUGCACAUCCGUUUGAUGUUGUUUCCAAUUCUUUGUGGUAGCCACAGUGAGAAAAGUACGUAUAGUGGCCAUCUUUGCGGUGGGAGUAAAAGUUUCAUGGUAGUCGAUACCAUCCUUUUUUAUUAUUGCCAAUAAUUACCAAUUGAGCCUUGCACAAUUUAAUGCUUACAUCUGAAUUACAUUUUAUUUUGUACACCCACUUACUACUAAUAACCUUCUUCCCAAGGGGCAAGUCUUCCACCGUCCAAGUCUCAUUCUCUUCCAAAGCUUGAAUCACUUUUCUCAUAGCUUCUUGCCAUCGUUCAUCUCUCAUUGAUUCAUUAUAAGAAGCUGGUCCUAAACAUGUAGUGAUGUUUGCCUAGAAGGAUCGAUGUUACGAAGAAAACUUGUCAUAACUGAAAAAAUUAGCUAUGGGAUAAAACAUACCUGAGGAAAGUGAUUGGAGAGGUGAACUCUACGAGGAGUUGAAUCUCACAUUAUUUGUUACAUAAUCCUUCAAACGAGUGGAUGGUUGUUUAAUCCCAUACCUUUGACCCAGCUGAUGUUAUACAAGAAUGCCCCCUCCUUCUGAUUUUUCGACAGCUAUAUCUCUAGAAUUUUCCUCAGCAGUAAAAAAUCUUCAAGAGGUUUCUCGCUGUCCAAUACCUUCCGCUCUUCUUCGACAGUUUCCCAAUCCUUAUACAUGUUAGGCCCAUUUGUAAUUCUAGUGGAAUUAUCACUUGCAAACACUUGUGUAGCAUAUAAAAAAUUUGUUUCUACAACCACCACAUCCCUUGAGACUAGAUACUUGAAGGUUUCUAAAUUAUAUAUUUUCCAUCCUUUCUUGUCGAAAGGGUACCCCACAAAAACACACCUAUGACUUCUACUAGAAAAUUUAUCCUUAUCUCUAAGUUGUUUAUGCACAUAAUAAAGACACUCAAAAGUCCUAAUAUGAUUAUAGGAAAGGGGUUGUCCAAAGAGAAUUUCAUAAGGAGUUUUUCCCUUCAAAACUGCAAAUGGCAUUCAAUUGAUUAAGUAUCUAGUGGUAAGAAUACAUUCACCCUGAAAAUUAAUGGGCAAGUGUACCUGAAAUAUCAAAGCUCUCACUACAUUAAAAAUGUAACGAUGUUUUCUUUUGACAAGUCCAGUUUGUUGAGGAGUUCCUACAGAAGAAGUUUGGUGCAAUAUACCAUGCUCAUCAAAAUAUUCUCCCAGACAAACAAAUUCAUUGUUGUUAUCACUCCUAAUAGUUUUCACAUCCUUCUCAAACUGUCUUUUAAUCAUAGUAAUGAAAUACUUAAGAACGCAAGAAACUUCAUAUUUUUCUUCCAGCAAAUAAAUCCACACAGCACAAGAACAAUAAUCAACAAUAGAAAAAAAUAAUGAGCUCUACAAAAAGCUAAAACUCUAAAAGGUCUCCAUAUAUCACAAUGCAUUAAAUUGAAACAAUAUUUAGCUUUAUUGUCACUAGAAUAAAACAUCUUUCUAGUUUGUUUUGCUUUAAAACAAACAUCACAGCUUAAGUUAUCACUAUUUUUACUAGAUUUAUAUGCUAAAAAAAUAAGCUCUAGCACCUUAUUCAAUGAAUGACCCAUUCUCCUAUGCCAAAUAUCGAUGUCUGCAACUCUAAAAGCUUUACAAGCAUUUGCUGAAACCACCUCCUUAAGAAAAUACAGCUCUUCACGUUGUUCACCCGCUCCAAUCAGCCUCUUCAUAUUUCGGUCUUGUUUAGCACAUAUUUUAUUAGUGAUUUGUAGCACCAAAUUUGAGUCAUUAAGAAGUUCUGAAAUAGAAAUCAAAUUGUUUUUUAAAUUAGGAACAAAAAGAACAUAUUGCAACUUCAAUCCUCUUCCAAGAUGCACCGUUCCUUCUUUUAGUGCUACAGUUGCUUCACCAUUUUGCAAUUCGAUUGAACAUGGAACAAUGUUAGACAGAUCUCUCAAACAAGCCCUUAUGUUAGUCAUAUGAUGGGAAGCCCCUGAAUCUAUUAUCUAAGAAAAAAUUCGUUGUUUACUAGUUAUCCUUUCAUUAGAUACAAUCUUUUGUGAACUCAAAAUUCCUAGCAAAGUGCUCCAUUGUUCAUCAUUCAAACCACUAAGCCCUUUUCUUUUAGAGUUCAUGAUGCCUCCGUGGCCAGUCUCUGUUGCAAAUUUCUGAGUGACAUUUUUUUUAUGGUACAGCACCCUUGUCACAUCCUCCACCACCAUUACGCUUAUGCCCACUUCCUCAUCCUGUAACACUAGAGCGAGGUCUAUUUCCCCAUAAAUCUGAAUACCCUAUCAACUGAAAGCAAGUACUCGAGUCAUGUCCCUCACAGUUGCAAUGCGAGUAAACUACAGUUUUGUCCCUACCUGAAUUUCAUUCGCCAGCCCAAACUGCAAAGCUCAUGGGGUUGCCUUUCUCUUUGUUGUUCGUGACAUUGUCCUUACUUGUUCUUGUUCAACAACCAUUGUAUAUAUCUUAUUCAGAUUGGGUAAUAGGUCUGUACUCAAGAUAUUAGCGUGCAUAGUACCAUAAUGUAGUGAGAUUGCAUCUGCAUCCACCAGAACUACACAGUGGUAUUUUGUCAUAAUUAUUUAGUUCAUCCCAUAUGGUUUUAUGCUGUCCAUAGUAAUUGAUUAUUAUGGUUUGUCCAUCUGGCUUAUAGUUCGUCAAAUCUGACCUCAAUUACUGCACUCUUGGUCCAUUUCCAAUGAAGAAGCAUUUCCUUAUGUCCUCCAACAAAUCUUCUACAUUCUCUACAAGGGAAAUAAUUGAACAUAAAGAGAGUUCAAUAGUGUUAAAUACCCAUGAAACAAGCAUGGAAUUGACAGUCCACCAAUCUUUAAUUUUCGAUGAAUCAUCUUUUAUUGUUCCACGGUUCCAUUAAUGAAACCAUACUUCUUUUUGGCCCUCAAUGCAGUUUGCACUACCUUUGCCCAUUCUUCAUAAUUUUCUCCCUUCAAUUGCACUUAAGUUAUUAUGUUGAUUGGUUGUCAUUGGGGCUUAGAAUGUACGGACUGGAAGUUUUCUUAUUAAAAAUAGAAAUCCCUUCAUCUUUAGGAGCCAUGACUUUGAUACCAUGAAGAAAUAAAAAAUUAUUACGAUAAAAAAGAUGUCCUUUAUUCUCAUUGACUUUAAACAUAUAUAAAUAGAUCGAAAACUUCUACUAGAAAUAAACUUCUAUAUAUGUACAAAUCAAGAUUUCCUAUACAAAGUAGCUACCAAAAAUACAUCCACUAAUAUAGCUAAAGAUUCUAAAAUAUCAUUCAUUUAAUUGUUGCACUGAUUUGUCCUAAUUUCCUCAACAAAUACUCUAAAUGAUUCAUAGUCCAUGGGUCAAAUUGAAAAAAUGACUCACAUUAGGAUUGCCAUGUCAUUUAUAAGUCUAAUAUGAGAGAUAACUUGUCUUGGCUAUCAGAGCUGGAUUGACUCCUAAAGAUAGAAACAUAGAUGUGAUUGUCUGGACUAAUAAUACAUCAGACAAAACCCAAAAUGAAUUAGACUUACAUUCAUUUAUGGAUUAAUUCAUUUGUGUCGUUCAUUUUGUAAUUUACCUAAAUCCUAAGUAAGUGGAUGACUAUUUGUACAUGAACUAUGUACUUUGAUAUUGAAAACCUAUCAAGGUAGUGAGUAGAAAGUUGGUAUGUUGUGUACAUGACUAAUACAUAGGAUGGCACAACACCAAAACAGGUCUUUAGCGGCGUUUUUUUAGGCCUUUAGCGGCGCUUUUUGCCGCCACUAAAGAUAUUUGAAAGCGUCGCAACAAAGGCCGCUAACGAAAACUUCGCUAACGUUUGCAGCGUUUACAAACAAAAACGCCGCUAAAGAACAUGCUCUUUAGCGGCGUUUUUUUUAACUUUAGCGGCAUUUUUUUUCUAAGCGCCGCUAGAGAUCAUAAUCUAUAGCGUCGCUUUUUUUACAAACGCUGCUAAAAGAAAUGUUCUUUAGCGGCGCUUUUAUACAAAAACGCCACUAUUUUUUUAUAUUAAAAUUUUCAUUUCUUCAGCCCUCCUGUAGCAACAAAUCAAAAGCAACCAGAUUUAAACCAGCCAAAAGCAAUAAAUUUAUAUAAUAUUUCAAAUUAAACGAAUAAAAUAAUAUUAAUAUCAAUAAAUAAAAGUGAAUUCAUAUUAUUUUGCAAAAAUAUUAAAAGUUAAAAUGAUAAAAAUAUUAAUGCAAUACACUAUGACGGCGGAAGUUGCGACUGAAACAUCUUCAUCAUAAUCUGAAGCUGCUGCUGGAGUUCGUCGUACUUUCUGCUCUGCUCUGCUUCUCUUGCUGCAGCCUCUACUUUAAGUUUUAGCUGCAGUUCUUCAUAUUUCUUUUGAACCUCUGCUUCUCUCGCUGCAGCCUCUGCUUCCCUCGCUGCUGCAUCUACUUUAAGUUGUAGCUGGAGUUCUUCAUAUUUCCUUUGAACCUCAACUGUGGUCGCUUGCAUCUGAGUCAUCUGGUCUUUAAACCUCUGAACUUUAGCUUGAGCUUGACUCCCCGAAGCCAUGUAUUGCUGCGAGCUGGAUCCAAAAUAUUGGGUUAGGCUAACAAAAGAUCCUCGAAACCGAACCCGACCAUACCUUUCAGGACCCAAAAAUUCAGUAAUAAUCCGGUUAUCAAUGUCUUCAGGAUGAACAGAACUAUCACUAGAAACAAUCGCUUCGUACUUCCCCUUUUUAUCAUUUAGUUUUUCCUAAAAAAUAAAUCACAUAGUUAGGAGCGCAAUAUAUAUUAAAAAAAAUAUGCAACAUAACAAUAGUCGCAUUACAAGCAAUGAAUUAAACCAUUAGAAAAUAAACACAAUAAAUAACUAAAACAAGUCAAAUCGUAUUAAGUAAACGUACUAUUAUUUCACCAGCUUCAGGAGUCAUGGGAGAUCCAUCUUUCUUCCUAUGUGUAAUUUCAAAAAAUUGAAGGCGUCCAACUUUUUGACCAGACGACAGUUCUUACAAUAUAGUAGUAAAAAUAUUAUUUAAUGGAAAGUUAUAUAUAUUUUACAAUAUUAAAAAAAAUUAAAAAUACCUCCGCCUCAGCUACACAUGCAAAACUUCUCGACCCAACUGUGUGAGUGAAUUUUUGUUUCUCCCUACUACUUUUUCCAACUCGUUCACGAUCCUACGUUAUGAAAUUUUUAGUACGUAAAUAUUAAAUACUAUAAACCAAAAUAAUUACAAUAGUUUGGAAGUACGUCAUACCUUGUCUUUCUUCGAAUGCCAAAAUCUAACCGCAUCUUCCCAUUGGUACCUCAACAUACCCGGCGGGACAUUUUGCAAUUUCUCAUCGAGGGUUGUUUUUGUCUUAUAAUAAUUUUUCUUCAAAGUACUUUUAUUGUCUCUCCAUCUUUUUCCCAAUGCAUUCUUUGCAUAAGCAUCCGAGACCUCUAAAGCAAACAUCGCCUACAAAAAACACAAGUUAAUAAAAUAAAUAUAAAUAAAACUAUUUCCCAAGCAUUACAGAUGACAUUAACAUUUUGUUAGCUUAAUAUUAUCGAGGGCUUGGUUUUUGUUGCUAUCGGGCAUUUGAUGCCAUGACUCGUAGUUGAUAGGCAACAUAUUUGUAUUUCGUGCUAAAAUGCCCAUGUAUCCUGCUAAAAGUCGAGCUUCUGAUCCAACAGGCUGACCAAAACUGUUUCGUCCAAAAGCGGCAUCGUUUUAUCGAACUUUCCACCAAAGAAGAAUAGCAGACGAUGUCGUAUUGUAGAAAACUUUGCGGCGUUUUAUCAGAAAACGCCACUAAAGAAAUAUACUGAAAGGAAAACGAAGUCGUUUUGAUAUAUUCUUUGCGGCGUUUUACGUCUAAGCGCCGCUAAAUCCUAUCUAUUGCGGCAUUUUAGUUUAAAACGCCACUAAUUAUUCAGUUUUUAUAAUAUUUUAUAUGUAUUUAUUUAUAAGUAUUUUUAUUUUUAAUAGAUUUUUAAAUACUAUCAACAUUCAAAUUUAUUAAUUAUUCACACUAUUCCAAUAAUGUCUUACAAUUAUAAAUUUAUGCUCUAUUUUUAGCAAACAAAUGAAUGCUCGUAUAUAAUAUUAAACUGUUUCAUCAUAUAUAACAUAUAUAUAUAUUAAACUUGUAUAAACCAUAAAUCCGAAAUGCUAAAACCUUACAUCGUAACCCUUAAAUCAUUAACGCUAAAUCGUAAAACAUAAACAUCAAUCCUUAACACAGUAAAUUUCAUUAUCUUAUAAGCCGUAAACUCUAACCCAAUAAUAACGUUAAAAUGUAAAAUCUAAACCUUAAACCUCAAUCUCCAAGCCCUAAACCUAAACUCUAAGCCCAAAACACAAAAAUGUAAUCUUAAAAUAAUAAAUAUUGUGCCACAAACCCUAAAACCCCUAACAGUAUACGAUAAAACUUAAAUAUUAAUCCCUAAAACCUAAAAUUUUAUUUCCUUUUUUGCGGCGUUUUGACCAAAAACGCCGCUAUUACCAAUAGAGACAAUAAAAAGCGACGUCGUUUUAAUGAACAUUCCACCAAAGAAGAAAAGCAGACGAUGUCGUAUUGCCAAAAUAUUUGCGGCGUUUACUUAAAAGCGCCGCUAAAUCAAUAUCCUGGAAUAAAACGAAGCCGUUUUACUUAGUCUAGUUCAGGCGUUUCUUAAUAUGCGCCGCUAAAUCCGAACCGUUUCUGGUGUUUUUUAACAUUUCGCCACUAAAGCAUAAAAAGGAAACAACAAAACGGUACCGUUUUGCUCAAAAAUUUUCCUCAAAUUAGAUAUCUUUACCGGCGUUUCUCCAAUAAUGCCACUAUAUCCCAAUAUUUGCGGCGUUUUUUACAAGGCACCACUAAAGAAAUAAAAUGAAGCAAUAAAACGGUAGCGUUUUGUCCAAAUUUUUUCCUCAAAUUAGAUAUCUUUACCGGCGUUUCUCUGAAAACGCCGCCAAUUCAAUCUUUUCCGGCAUUUUUUACAAUGCGCCACUAAAGAAAUAAAAUGAAACAAUAAAACGGUACUAUUUUGCUCAGAUUUUUUCCUCAAAUUUGUUAUCUUUACCGGCGUUUUUGUUGAAGCGCCACUAAAGUCAUAAAGUAACCAAAAAACGGAGCCGUUUUGCAAACAAGUUUUGUGGCGUUGAGGUAAAAACGCCGCUAAUGCAGAUCAAUUGUGGCGUUUCUAUUUCUUGCGCCACUAAUAACCAUUUAUUGCGGCGUUUGUCUCUGGACGCCGCUAAAACUCUAUUUUUUGCGGAGUUUUUUUGUUUAAACGCCGCUAAUACCGCCGCUAAAGACCUGUUUUGGUGUAGUGUGGUUUCACUCACAAUAGUGGAAUCAUAGCUCAAUAAAGAGUAAAUGUUAUCUUCUAGUUGGCAUUGUAUGAUUUAUGAAAAUGAAUCAUGUCAUGGGUCAUUUUUUCUAGAAUAAAUGGUUUAAUCAUCACUAGGUUACGUAAUGAUCAUUGUCAUCAUAGUAGAUACAAUGUCACCAUAAAAAAACUAAUCAAGUCAGGUGAGAAGGUUGAUUAUUUUUAUAACUAUUGUUGUUUUGCUAUUUUUCAGUUCCAUCCUUCAUUGCUAGCUUCUUUUACCAUAAGAACUACAACCAUGGAUAAUAUUAAGAUUUAAAAGUUUAAGUCCACUAAUGAAUGAAUAUGUACAAGGGGUUGAUUAUUUUUUAAGAUUUGCUUUUACAAAUCCAUGUUGAGAUGGUAUGAGUUUGCUUCUAUGCAUGGAAUUUGCCAAUUUACAAUUGAGGUUGCUAGGACUUGUAUAAGAGAACUUUUUUGUGCUAAGUUCUUGUUAAAUAUAAAAACCAGGUGAUACUUUAUUUGUGGCUUAUGAGUCUCAUCUGACAGAGGAGGUUUUUUAUUUUAAAAGCUUUCAAGAGUUUGGAGGUCUUGAUGUGUCACACCCUAAAAUAAGGCCUGGAAGUUUCGAGGGUAAAAUAAGAAUUUUAGCUCUAGUUUGGUCGAGAAUUUCGUAGCAUGGUAAACCGAAAAUGUUUUCGUUUAUGGCUUUUUAAAAAUCAAAUAAUUUUUUGAAAAUGAUGCUAAAAAGACUUCCAAUUUUGAAAUAAGGAUUGAUUUGUAAUAUGGGCUAAAUUUUGAGUGUUUAUAAGGCAGUUAAACUAAAUUUUAAAUUCAACCUAAUAUUCCCCCACCUACAGUAAACUCACGAUAGCUUCCCCGUUGUUUUGUUUUUCCUAUCCCUUACUCUCCCAAGAUUCUCCCAUUCAAUUUCAUUUUAAAAAUAUUAAUUCCUUUGAUUUCUAUCACCACCCAAGCCAUAAAUCUCCAUAGAAUUUCAAGAAAAACACCCAAAGCACCAUUGAUUUUGUCAUCUCUCAAGUUGUGUGUUUUCCAGAUUUUCGACUAAAUCUUUGUUUUUCUUCCAUUGAAGGUAACAAUUCGUCUUUCUAUUAGUUUUAGAUGUUAUCUGGUCUUUUAAAUUGAGUUUGUACCCAUUAAAUCACAUGUUUUGAAUAAAAGCCAAAAAUUGAGUCGUUAAUGGUGGAUUUCGAGAUUUUGAAUAAAAAGGUGGUUUUAAAGUAUUUUUCAAUUAGUUUUAAUGUGAAUAGAAUGUUUCUAAAGUGAUUUUAAAGUUUCGUUAAAGAUUUCUUAAAAUUUAUUGGAUUUUCAUGAAAAUUGUCAUGAUAUGUCGAAAAAUUUCAAUGCCAUGAAUUGGGUAGUUUUGCAUAGUUUAAAGGUUGAAAAUUAUUCGUAGGUAAAUAAGUGGAUUAAUGAAAUCAAUUUUAGGAAAAAAAGAAUUAAGUAUAGACCGAGAUAAUAGAGUUUCAAGUUUGUUAUGUUGAAGGUUUCGGUUACAAAAUAAUCUAGCUUAGGCUUGUGUUUUUGCUAUUGAUUUAAGAGAGUCAUUGGUUACGAAAUUCAACUAGGUAUCCACAACAACAUACUAGAAACAUUCUUGAAACCUCCAUUCUUCGUUCAUUCUUUCUGCUUGCCUUCUAUUCUUAAACUUUGCCCCUUUCUCUAUAAUAGAAGACUAAUUAAAGAAGAUGAAGCUAUAUCAAAUUUUUAGGGUUUUAAAUAACCCAAAACGGUAAGCUUUGGAUUUAAAAAUAGUUUUUAUUUUAAUUAUAAAAUGACAUGAGAAUUAUGUUAAUUUAUUUAAAGGUUAAAAAAUUCAUGUCACUCAACAUUAGUCGACUGUUAGUAUUUUAACAGUUUUGGACUAAAAAAUUUUGAUAAAUCAGGUGACCAUUUAUGUAGUUCACCCAAUUUAUUAUAAAUAUGACUUUAGUCAACUGAAAAUUUUCAUGGUUCAGACUGAAUUUCUUUCACUAGCACUAGGAAAAUUAAUAUUUUCAAGAUACGUGCCUACCUCUCUUAAUAAUAUCGUCUUCAAUAUUUAAACUUAAAUUUUAUCUAUAAAAAUACAAAAUAUUUUACUAUUACGCCCAAUAAAUAUUAAUAAUUGCUUCAUCAUUUAUGAACUCUUAUAAAUGUCGGCAAAUUAUUUGUAGUGCGACAACUUUGCUACCAACAUGUAACCACCAAAGAAAAUUGAAGAAAACAUACAUAUUCAUGCAAAAAUGUUUGGACUUUGGACAAUAAAAAAUCUAUUAAAAUUGUUGAAGGUUGAGUUGAUCCGACUCUAGAACAUUUGGUAUAAGAAAUAAGAAAUGGACCUCAUUGGGUUCCAUUGACUAGUAAAGUAAUAUUGAAAGGUGAUAUGCAUGUUUAUCUUGAUAUCAACUUUUUAGCCGCAUCAACGAUGGGUUGGCAUUAGCUAGGAAGAAUCUCAAAACUUUUUAUUUCUUCAAUUUCCUCCAAAAACCUAUGUCACUCUCAUCUUCCUCUUCUUCAUCAUCAUCUUUUUUUGUGUUAAAAUAUUAAUAACCACCUUUUUUCCCUCUUUUGUUUCUUUCAUAUAUAUAUCUAUAUGUGCAAAAUCCCUCUUAUAGUUUAAUUCCUUGAAUCUCAUGACACAACACAAUCAUUAAAGCUAUGAAUUUUUUAUCCCCUUUUCUUCUUAUUUUACUUCUCUCCUCUCUCUUUCACCACUCUGCGUUGCCCAUUUCAGAACUUCAAGGUACGUCCCUCUUCCUCUCUCUCUCUAUACAUAUGUAUAUAGUUCAUAAGUUUAUUAACUUGGAAUGGUUUAUGUUUUCAGAUUUUGGGACCGAGGAAGCUAAAGAAUCAUCUAUGGGUACUUAUGAUUACCAGCAUGUAGUAAGAUAAAUCUUCUUCUAGUUUUCUUUUCUUUUCUUUUCUUUUUUUACAAAAAUAUGAUAAGUGAAGCAAAUUUAUAUAUUGCUGAACCUUGUUAUUGAUGAUUUUUGUUGAUUGUUCUAAAAAUGCAGCCAUUUGUUGGAGUUGAAGAUGAUGCUCAUAAGCUUCAAAGGAAAGUAUUGCAUGAAGUUCACUCAGGACCAAAUCCAAUUAGCAACUCAGUUCCACAACAAAGAUUGAAAACAAAGUUGAGAAAAAUAUUACCAUAGCUUUAUUUAUUUUGUAUUUUUUAAUUUACCAAAAAAAAAACAACAAAUAAUUUGCCAAUAAAAUCAGUCUUUUUUUUGGGGGAAAUAUCAAAAUAAUAACUUCAUAAUAUCAUUACAAAUCAAUAAUGUAAUGAUUAUUUCAUCAUUAUAAACCAUAUAUAGUUUUUUGUAUUUUUAUUUUUAGUUAUAAUUAAUCAAGCUUUAUUUCAUUAUGUCAUGUGUUAUCUUACCUUCUCAUUCUUCCCUUUUAUAAUUUCUUUUUUCUUUACUUUAUCAGUUGAUAGAGGAUAAAUUGCUAUAUCAUCAACCAAAAAUCUCAUUAUUCUUAAUCUCUUUCAUGUAAAUAAUAAAAUAAAAUGUUUUAUAUAUUUAAUAAUUAAUAAUAUUAAUAUAAUAUCGAUACUAAUUAAAAUAAAACUCAAUGGAUUUAAAUAUGUAUUAUUAUAUAAUUUAAAAUUUUGAAAGGAACAUAAAUAAUGAUAAAAAAAAUUGUAUGAAAAGUUUGACAAAACUAGAAUAUUAGGAUUUAACUUUAAUUACUUUUAGGUAAGAGUAAGACAAUAUUAUUUUUACUACAGUAAAAAACAGUCUUGUCUGCCUAAACAAAGACUAUGUAUAUGACGCUUUAAAUGGUCAAUGGAUUAUUGGAGUUUGUGUGGGUGAAAAUGCUUUAUAGGAAAAACGUAAUUAAAUGCACCCAAAAGCUAUUUAAUUGAUCUCUAAAAGAAGCAAAGUUGUUGUGGGUUUCUAAGUAGUACUACUAUCUUGUCAAUCACCAAAGACUAAUGAUUUUGCUUCCUCCCUUUGCUACAGUAAUUUUUUUCAAACCAGUUUAAUUAAAUUUCAAUUAUGUAAUUUUAUAUUGAUUGAGUCUUAGUUCAAUUGAUAUCCAUAUUAUUGUCAACACAAGAGAACGUGAGUUCGAGUACGUUAAAACGUAUUAUUCUCCUAUUUAAGAAUUGGGAAAUACUAUAAAUAAUUUUAGAUAUUAUAUCAAAAAACAGAUAUAAUAUAGAUUUAUAAUGAUAUUAAUACUUAAUUAAAAAAAUUUUAAAAAUAAAUAGAAGGUUGCGGAUUGAGUUUUAGUUUAAUAAAUUUUAGCUUCAGUUCAAUAGUAAAGCAAAUCAAUCAAUAUUGGCAAUAAUUUCAAACAUACUUUACAGAAAUUUAUUUGAUAUAAAGCUGCAUUUAUUCUUUUCAGCUCAUGACUUUUACUAUUUAUGUUUAUGAAGAAAAUAUGCUUCACAUAUUUCUUUGAAAAGUAAAAAAUUAUGUACCUUAAUUACUUUUUUUCUUAAAAAUAUAUAUAUUUAUAAAUUAUCCUGGGUCAAUAAUUUAUAUCAUAUAAAUUAUGGGGUAAAGCGAGAAAAUAUUUUUAAGAGGAAGAAUUAAAUUAUAUAUUUUUACGAAAAUUAAAAUAUAAUUUUAUAAUUUUAGGCUUCCCCUGCACAUGUUAGUAUAUUAAAGUUUAUAUAUUUAUUUGUUUCGCUACAGUGUACGGAUUGAAGUCAAGGUGUAGAGGACCCAGUUUUCACCUCAAAAUCGUAUGCUGGAGGUUGUGUAUUUCGCUCAAUGGUCGUAUGAAACAAAUGUCACAAUAGCAUACAUGAUCCCUACAAUUUUAUCAAAUCUUCAGUAUAGUCCUUAAAAUUUAUCAAUUUUUUGAAUACUCCCUUCAAUUAUAUUUAAAAAUAGCAUGCUAUUGUUUAAAUUAAAAACAUUAAACUAUAGUUUUAAUAUAAAUUAAAAAUUAUUAUAAUAAUUUGAAAUUUAAAAUAUAAUUAUUCUUAAAAUAUGGAAAUUUAAGAUUUGGUUAUUAAAAGAAAUACAAUUUUAAGAUGAAACUUAUAAAAUACUUUUUUAGAAGAAUGAUUUCAAAUCUACAAAGUGGUUUUAAUAUUUAUUUUUUUCAAUAAUAAAAAAUUAUAAAAUUAUCAACUCCAGAUAAAUUUUUUAUUGCUUUAAAAAUAUGGAAUACUCUCUUCUUCUUCUUUUUUUUAAACAAGAUAACCAGGAUAAAAAAAUAAUAAAAAACCGACAUUUUAAAUAAUAUAUAUUUUAAAUUUUUUAAAAAUGCAACAUAAUAUUUUUCAAUAUAAUUUUGAAGUGAAUAGAGUAGAUUGAAAAUUUAAUAAAUCUUCAAAGAUUGAAUCCCCCUUUGUUCUUCAUGCUCAAAUAAAAAAAGGAAAAAUAUCAUAAAUGAUCCCUGAAAUUUUAUUAAAUUUGGAAAAUAAUAACAUAAAUGAUCCCUGAAGGGGCUUCAACUCAAACGUAUAUUUUAGUAAAUAAAAGGGGAAAAAACCAACUUUAGUAUCAAGUAAUAUUUUUUCCUUGGUAAUGAAACUAAUCAUUACAAAGCUUAAUGAUUAAAGGUAUCACAUACUGCAAAUAUAUAUUGGAGCUGGGUUUGAGAUAUGUUAUUUUAAUUCUGGAAUUUGUCAUUUAAUCAAUAAAAUAUAUUUUUAUAAAAGUAUUUUAAAUAAUAAAAUGAUUUAGUUUUAACUCGAUUGACAUGAGUUUGAGUGCGUUGAAGUGUAUUAUCCUCCUUUUUAUGGGUUGGAAAGAGAUUAUAUAAAAAAAACAAAUAUAAUUUGACGAAAAUAUUAAACAAAUAGAUUUGGUUAUUAUUCCAUUGUCACAAAUAAAAAAAAUAAAAUUAAAAAAAAGGGUAGGUUGCAUAAUUUUAACCUAAACCCGUUGCUAAAAUUUCAAUUGACAAACUCCUUGUUUCAUGGUGAUGUCAAUUUCAUCAUAUCAAUAAUUGCAGUGAAACAAUGCCUCUCUCAAUUAUUAUUGAAAAUGACUUAGAUUACAAAGAUUGUUUUUUGCAUAAUUAAUCAAGAAUCUUUAUAUAGAUCUAAUUUAACCAAUUUUUCUUAGAGCAAAAUCGACUGAUAGUGAUACACAAAUUUCCUCUAAAUAGAAUUAAAUAUUAUAAAAGAAUAUUAAAGAUUCGAGAACUCAAUUUUUAUCAAUUAUACCAAAACUUUUUAAUGUUUAAUUUGAUAAAUUUAAACACGGUACUAUAUGGAAAAAUACAUAACAUCAAUAUAACUUUAUAUAACAUUAAUUAUUGAUAUAUUAAAACCUACAUAAAUACGUAAUCGUUGAAAUGCGAUUACAAUGUGCAACCAAAAAAAAAAAAAAAAAUCAAUACAUCACUUUGGUAAGUUAAAUAUGCAUAAUGUCAAAUUUAAUUCUCAAUAUUUAUAUUUUUUUAAUUUUUAUUUUUAUUUUUUUAAGUUAAAUUUGACCAUUAACCUUUUAACGAUGUUAGCAUGACAAUCUAUGUAAUAGUUCACGUGUAUUUCAUGUUGACAUGAAAUUAUUUAUCUUAUAUGUCACAUAAAUAAAUAAUUUAAAAAUUAUAAAAGUAUUCACAAAAAUAAAAAAAAUUUAAAAAAAAACAUAAAGUACAUUUGGGUUACCAUGCAGGUUGUUAUGUUUAAAAACUUAACAUUUUUGUCGUUAUUGCAAUUAUGGUGGCACGACCACCUAUAUAUGUUCUGGAUCUACGACUCUAGUGGCAUUGUUCCACAACUAUAUGUUGGUGUGUUUUGGAUGGACGAGUUCUUGGAAACUCUAUUUCGUGUGUAGCGGAGUUGGGUAGGUACAUUUUCUGAAAAAUCUACAUUGUGUUUUUCUGAAAAAUACUGCAUUGGCCUAAUCAUGCAUUCUCAUUUUCGGUCAAUUGAACAUUAUGAAAUUUCUCUGUGUUAUCUGAUUUGUUUUCUAUGUUACAUUGCAUGACAUGCCAUGUCAUCGUGACUGUUCAGUUUUUUAUGUCUGUUUGACUGUCUGUUAUUAUUAUUAUUAUUUUUUGCAUGUAGGCUGAGUUGCACACUAAACUUUAUAGCUCAUCCCUUUUCAUUUCACCAUUUUAGGUAAUUGACAGAAUUAGAAUUGUCUGGCCUUUGGGAACUCAGAUUGGUUUUCUCGCAUAAAAUGGUUUUAGUUAUUAAUAAUUAAAAUUUCUAGACUUUUGAUUUUUGGACUAAUUUUUGGAUUUAAUUUUGGCUUUGGGUUUUGUGGUGGUUUUGUUAUUUAGUUUAAGAUUUUUGCAUGAUUUUUGUCAAUUAAAAACCAAUGCUUGGUUUCCAAAAUUAAACAAGCUAACAAUUUUUCCGCUACAAAGUUUUAUUCGGAGUUAAAAGUUUUACAAAGCAAGUGCCUUAAGCGUUAUGAUUUUAUAAAAUUGGUUUUUCUAAGCAAACAAUUAAUAAUUUCACAUAAACAUUUUAAGAAUGAAAAAUUCUCCUACAAAGAAGUCAUGGCGAGUUUUUAUAAAUCUUCAAUUUUCGAUUUCAUAACAAGACACACUUUGGGAAAAUAUAUAACUAAACUUUCAACGUAUUAAUGUAACAUUCCAGAUUUAGCAUUAACGAAUCACUCCAAAAUGAAUGGAAAAGUUAAUGUUUGUUAACUUGAUUGAUGUUAUAUCCACGUGAUAGUUCACAUUAGCAAUUAAAUAAAAUUUUAAAAAUUAAAAACAUUGAAAAUAUUUUUAUAACUUUUUAUUUUUAAAUAAUUUUUUAAUUUUUAAAAUUAAAAAUAAUCAAAUUACUGGCAUGGCAUCCACAUAUUGCCGCAUGGAUGCCUCAUCAACAAAGUUAACAAACAUUAAUUUUUCCUUCCAUUUUGGAGUGAUUUGACAAAUAAGACAAAUUUAAAAACUAAAAACUAAAAAAUUAUUUUUAAAAAAAUUAAAAGAAGAAAUAAAUUAUUAUACCAUUUCAAAUCAAUUCAAGUAGUAACUUUCAAUAAUGCUGAUGGACCAAUAAUGUAAUUAUAUUGUUUAAAUUUCAACCAAAUUGACCAACAUGUUUCUUUUUUGACAUUUAAUCCUCCAAAAAUAUUUUAAUAUUAAACCUACGAUUUUUCUCCAACUAAAACGUCAACCAAAGGACUUUCAAAAGAAAAAGAAAAACGUCUACAUAUAUUUGAAAUUAUUUGCAAGUAUAAAUAAUAAUUAUCACAACAACUAAUAUUUAUAAAUUAUGAUUAUGUUAAUACUAGACAUAAUUUUUGUACUUAGAUAGAAAUAAAGUCAGAUAAAAUUUAAAUUAAAAAUUUACACAUGAAUGUAAGAUUUUAAAACUGUUAAGACCUCGUAUUAUUGAUACAAGUACAUCACGUGGGCUCAACUGCUUUAUCUCAUCAAGUCAGAAUGAAUGACAAUAUCUGUCUUGUCACAGAUAUCCUCGUCCCAUCGAAGACUUCCCUCAAGAGUUCCGUAAUGAUGGCCAAAUGAUAAGUCCAACACGUUAAAAUCAUCUUGCACGGGAUCUUUAUUUAUAAAUACCUUUAGGAACGAUGAAUAAAAGAUAGAGUCUUCAUGAAUACUAUGCCUACACUUUGCCAACAUUCUUUCAACCUCAGUCUUUACGUUUUCUUUACCCCCACACCCUAUAAUCUCCAACUCUCCGUCCCAACUAGGUGAACCGACCUUCUUAGCAGCCACUUUUCUCUCUUUUAUACUUUUUCCUUGUUGUACACUCUAUGAAUAAUAUUGAAAUAUUAUAUUAUGCUAAGAUUCAUGUUGAAUAAGAUCAAAUUUAUAUGAAUAUACAAAAAUAUUUAAUAUUAUAUUAAAAUAGGUUAUAUAUAUGAUUUCACAUUUCCCACCACGCUUUAAGGAGGUAUAAUCAUAGGAAGUGGAGCCCUCGUAGUAUUUUAAUUAAAUAAUAAUAUAAUAAUUUGAAAGAUUUUGCCCACUAAAUAACCUUUUAAAACUUUAGGAAUUUCCCUUUUUUUAUCUAGUCCGAAUCUGCAUGGACCCCUACAAAUGUGUUUGCGUUAUUUAUGAUGUGUUUUAAGAAAAAAAAUAGUGAAAAAGGUGGAUUUUAGGGAAAUUCUUUUUAAAAAAUAAGUUGGUUAUUGGAUGAAUUAGGAAAAUAAAUUAUAUUUGUCGAGUCGAAUAUCAUAGUAGAAAAAGUGAUUUUUUAAGAUACGAUUUUAGCAUAAACACAUUUUAUACAUUAACAUUCGACUCAACAAAUAUCACCUAAAAAGAAGCACAUUACCAAUUAUAUAUACCACAACUCUUCUCUCAUUCUCUAAAUUAAUUCUCCCAAUUUCAUACUUUUAUAAAUUAUAUUUCCUUCAAUUAUUUAUAUUAUUUUCUAAAUAAACUUGAAAGUUUUUUUUUCUCUCAAAUAUUUUGUCUUGGUUCAAUUUUCUCCACCAAAACUUUAUCAAGUAAUUUAAGCUAAGUUAUUUAUUUUCAAGUGUUAUGUAGUUUUAAUAUUAGAUUAAUCUAAUUUUAGGUUGCUUGCAACUAUUAUUAUGUUAUAGUAAAGUGAAUGAUAUGUUAAAAAGAUUAUAAAUUUUGUUAUAGUCUAUAUUAAUAUUUUAUUAUUUAAUAUUAGUAUUUUGUUACUUUGUCAAAUAUUUGUAUAGCAAUAUAUUCUAUUUGAAUUUUUUUACAGAUCUAAAAAUGGCAAUGCCACUGAUAAGUUUAGAUCACAAACAUCAUCAACAUACUUUAUGCAAACCCAAUAACCAAAAUCACAUGCAACAAUUGCAUGUGAGUAUGGAUAACGAAGUGCCUGAAAUCCCUCAUACUCGCAGGUCCUUUCUUGCAAGCUGACAUGGUACAAUCCUUUGAUAAUACCCCCAUGCAAUAAAUAGUAUUUAUACACGAGUAUAAUUGUACCAUAAUGGAGUUCGAUUUUGUCCGAUUUUCCUCCAUGGCUUUCUUCAAUUCCUCGCACCAAAUGUGCUCGUCCUUCAUCUUCUUAGGAUUUAGUGCCCUAACUGGAGUUUAUUCGUCAUUUAUGCUUGUAUUUUUUUCAAACAGGUUGAUUUAAAUAAAACUUCAUUAUUCAAAUUAAUAUAAUUUGUAUAUAUCUUCAAUAGCUUUUGCAUGAGAAACAAAAUGUACGCAAAUAAUGGCUUAUUGAUUACCUAAUGUUUAACUAAUACUAAGUUGCAUUACGUGGUCAGAUUGUAAUGUGAGAAGACAACUUAUAUUAGUAGGUAAUUUGAAAAGGUUCAUAGUCUGAUGAACCGAAAUUAAGCAAAUUGAUUAAAAGACUAUCAUGCCAUCUAUCAAGUCCAAAUGGAAGAUACAUUGUCUUGGGUAUUAGAGCGGUUUCCUCGUAAAAGAUAGAUGCAUAGAUGUGAUUUGGAUUGAGAACGCAUCAGAUAGUACCCAAGUUGAAUUAAUCCUAGAUCCAUUUAUGGAUUAACAUUCAUAACAUGGCUUACCUCAAUAUUGAAUAAGUGACUGACUAUGUUUACGUGACUCGUAUGCAUUGAUGUAUUAAAAGGCUGUGUUCAAAUAACUAAAGAGCGGAAAGCUGAUACGUCGAGUAUAUGACUUUUGCAUGAAAUAGCUUCAUUUACAACAGUGAAAGUUAUAGUCUAAUAAAGUGUAAAUGAUACCCUCUCAUUGACAUCCUCUUAUUGAAAUUACAUGAUAGAUGAAAAAGUAACAUGGCCACGGGUCAUUUGUCUAAGAUAAAUGAUUUAAUUACUAUUUGUUAGUAAUUGACUUUUCAUUAAGGAAGAUGUAAUAGUUACCACAAGAUAAAUAGGAUUAAUGAUAUUGGGUGAACAAAUUUAACCCAAAAAGAUUAAUGAUAUCCUAUAAAAGUAACUUACUUAUGACAAGGUCAUUGUACAAACACUUAUUAAGUUGCUUUCAUAAUGGUAUUUAAUAAGGGAGAGUUCAAUCAUGGUAGUUUAGUGGAAUGACUCCGUGCUUAAAUAAUGUUGUAAUUAAUAGGCGAAGGGUCGAAACUUAAUAAAAGAUUAUUUGAUCCCUAAUUAUAAUUGUUUAAUCGGUCCCUUCGCUAGCUUGAUAUAAUCCAAAACAAAUUGCAUAUAUAACUGAUACUAUGAAAUGAAUGAAAACGGUGGCUAAGAGAAAUAGAUCACAUAUAUCACUAUCCACAGUGAAUGGAUUUUCUCGUUAAGUAUAAAGAUAACCUAGAAAUUAAAUUAAUUUCUUUAAAUUAUUAUUUAAUUGAAUGCAAUUAAAUAAUUGAAGUUCGAAGUGAGAAUUAAGUUAAUUAGUCAUCAUAGUUUUAUUGAACGAGGCAAUUAAAUAUCAAUAUCAAUGAAAUUAUUAUUUUGGCUUUUCCUUGAUUAUCCCCGAUUUGAUUCAAUUUUUGAUCUAAACAAUUAUUUAGACAAUUCAUCAAUACCAAACACUUUUAUAUCAUUCCAUGAUAUGCAUUAACCUAUUUAAUUCUUUUUUUAAAUUCCCUUUAAGUUUUGCAUUUUUUCAAUUUAGUCCCCAAAAUCAAAAUAGUCAUAACUUUCAAUUUUGAACUUUAGUUUCAAAAUUGAUCUCAAUCACAUACUUUUUGGACCCUCUAUAUCUAUUAUUUUAGAAUUUUCACAUCAAUUAUACAAUUUAUACAUUUUAGUCCUUUUGUACAAAACUAACAAUUAAACUUUAUAAUCUAGCCAUUUUCACAUCUAAUUAGCUUAAAAUCUAUCAAUUUAACACCAAUUUCUUCAUGAAAUAAACAAUGAAAACUUUUAAAAAAUUUAACAGUUUUAGAAAUUGGUACAUGGGCUAGCUAAAUCAAGCUCUUAUGACCUCAAAAACAUAAAAAUUAUAAGAAAAUGACUUGAAUUACCUUAGAAAUAGAUGACUGAAAGAUUUUGAAGCUCAAAACCCUAUUCUUUUCUAUGUUUCAGUAGAGAAGAAGAUGAAUAGAAAAAGAAAUGACUUUUUCUCUUUUUAAUUUUAACUUAUAUACUUUUAGUUAAACUUAAUUAAUCUAAAAUAAAUUAACUAAAAUUUAAUUAACUAAAAUUUAAGCUUAAUUAGCCAAAGUUAGUGGAUUUUAACCUCAUUCACCACCGUUUGAAGAAAUAAAAUGGUCUAUUUACCACUGUUUUAUACAUAAAAGAAAAGGAACUAAGGCUACUACUUACUUAUCCUUGUGUAGUUGAUUCCUACGCUAUCAACAUGUAGAGUUGAUUUAGCUUCUUCUAGAGGUUCGUUGAACAAAUGAUAUCCAAGCACCCUUGUUUUUGCACCAUUAGACAAAUCAUCGGCUAUGCCAUUUGCCUCUCGAUAAACAUGCUCUAGAUGAACAAUCCAUCAUCUUUGCAGCAUUUUAUGUAUUGCACGGAUCAUAACAUUUAAAGAAGGCUCUGGAUUUCUUUGACCGAUAAGAUUAAUAUUUGUCAAACUAUCUAUCUCGAGAACUAGUUGUUGUGUCCCUAAAAACCAUGCCAUACUCAGACCAUCAUAAGCUCCCUAUAGUUCAACGUUCAAAACAAAAUUUGAGCCAAUAUUUAUUACAAACCUUGUAAUGCCCCAACCAUUAAGAAUUUCUUUUGCUACAUUUGUUAAGUAACCUGACUUGCUUCAGUGGUUAAGUAUUUGGAUGGGGAUUCAGGGUCUGGAGUUCGAACCCCUGUGCAAACAAUUGGGUGUAUUUAUUUUCUUUUGUUGUUCUCACCAUGUGCUGCGUUUGAGAGGAGUUGGUGUUUUAAUUAGAUUGGGAUUUGUGUAGGGAUAAGAUUGGUAUAAUUUGUUUUAUCUCUAGAGAAUUAAAUCCCAAAACAUCUUCUCAUACCCUAUUUUUCUACUUCACGUUUCCCAUUUCUUCAACGGUUAGUAUUAUUAUUUAUUUUGCUUUAUCUUUUUUUAAAAAAAAAAAAGGGUUUCUUUCCUAUUUCUCAUGGUUGUUCCCUGUUUCCCCAAGUUCAUGCCACCACUUUUAAUUUCUACUAUUGCAUCUUAUCUUUUUUUUCUUUCUUUUUCCUAUUUUUUCCCUUUCAUUAUUUUAUUUAAUUUGGUUCUUUACUGGUCGUCAUCAAAGUGGACAGCCACUGUAUUCGUUCCUUACUUGGCAUUAUAUUUAUAUUCUGUAUUAUCUUAAGUCCUAUUAAUGUUCUUGCCUUUUUGUUCUUGUGCUAUUGGGUUUGUAUUCGGGGGUUGUGUUUGUAUUCGGGCGUGUGGACUUAAAAUUCUAAAAAUCUUCCUAACACCGUACACGUAGUUUUGAUUGACCAUGGGCUUUUCGAGGGUUGGUAUGUGAUUAAAUGACUGUAAAAUAUGAAAUCAAGCCAACUAUUCGCGUGAAGUCUUAUACAUGUUUGUAUAAACCGCGUAAUAGGUUAAAGGGAAACUGAAACGGAUUAUGUGUGUUCUGUAUCUGUUAUGCUAUGUAUAUAUACUAAGUAUGUUUGAUAUUUGUUAUAUUUUCUAUCGCCAUCUGGGAUGGGUUACAUAUAAUAUGAGGAAGUGUUUCUGUGAAAAGACGAUAAUCUGCCUAUUGAGCCGGCAGCUCAUCUACAACUAUUCUGUAAAGUGUCCUAUUGACACUAAGUGGUGUGUAGGGUUAGAUAGGUGUUUUAGACCCAUAUGGUGUGCUAGGAUGGUCGGAGUUGGUGUGUAGUAGUUCGAGGUAGCAUUAUAUGUUUGUAUCUGUUCUGCUCCGUUAUGAAUUUGUUUUUGAUAAAUCUGUUUGAUAUGCAUUAACUAUUUUAAGUUACUCAUUAUACACUGAGUUUCGGAAACUCACUUUCUGUUUGAUUGAUAUUUUCAGGUAAUCCUCAGACUUAGGCGGGUUUGUGCAAUCGGGAGCUCGGUUAAUGUCAUAUUCUAUUUAAAUUUGAUUUAUUUAAAUUUUGGUAUUUGAGUUUUAUAAAUUUUAGACUCUUUGGACUGUUUAGAUUGUUUUAUAUUUAAAACUUUAUUUCCGUAUUUUGCUUAAUACUAUUCAAAUAUUUUAGUCGACAAAAUUCGCUUUUCUGCAAAAUUAAAGGCUUUCAAACAACGAACAAUGUUUCCCAAAUAUCACUUUUUAAUGAGUCUCCACAGUGAAAAUUAUAGGUUUUUAGAAAAUAUAAGCAAACAAUGUUUUUAAUAAAAUAGUUUGGUAAGAUAUGAUUUUGAAUAAAUCCAAGAUUUUGAAAGUUUAUGAUGUUUUUCCAGAUACACAAAAACCAAAUUUCAAUCAUAUUACGUAACAAAUCCAGAUUUGGCCAUAACAUCUGAGCCGAGUUUGGAGUGUUCAAUUUAGUGUUAUCAAAGCCAAGUUUCAAAACUCGAGCUGUAAAAUUUUAGGUUCAAUAGUGUUUUUGUGAAAACUGUUUGUCUGAGUAAAUUUUAUUUUUCCAUGAAUCAGAAAAAUAAUUCUGUGAAAUAACAAGUCUCCAACGCCGAUUCUAUCAGUACUUCUAACUUAGAAAAACUUUAGUUUAGAAACUCUUAAAUGAUUAGAACUGUACUGUGAUAGUUAGAGACUGAAACACUUUUGAAACUUCUUUUGUAAACCUUUGAGCAUAAAAUAUAUGUUAAUAAAUACGGAAGCUAAUAGAAAAUCUGUAAUGUAGAUAUUAUAUACGAUGAGAACUUGUGGAUCAUGUGGACGCGGUACCUGUAGGCGCGACGGGCACUGUAGAGGGGCUCAAGUUGAGUCGUCCUCGAUGGGUAGUAUACUCAAUCUGGAUAUCAGUGAGACACCGACUACACCUACUACUGAGACCGGGUCUCAAAGUCACUCUGUUGGGGACAACAAAUUGUCCCAAGCCAUGCUGAGAGUUUUGGAGAGGGUCGCUAGGCUCCAUUUUGAUUAUGGGAGUCGUGGGUCGGUAGCUUAACGAAUCUGGUCGAAUGACGCUGAAUUAUUUUGGGGUGUCAUAAGAGUCUCCCCGUUUGUGGCUGAAUACUAGUUGGAGGCCACUGAGAGGUUAAUGAGUAACAUUAACUGCACUAUUGAGCAGAAUCUGAAGGGUGCAGUGUCUCUACUUUGCAAUGAGGUGUACCAACGGUGGUUGACAGUUGAAGAGGGUACUCAAUCGGAUCAUAUUACUUGGGAUUAUUUUAAGAGUGUAUUUCAAAGUAAAUAUAUGGGGGCGAGUUAUAUGGACGCUCGUAGACACAAGUUUAUGACAUUUACUCAGGGGGACAAAAUUGUGGCCGGUUAUAAGGCUAAAUUUUUUAGACUGAGUAGAUAUACUCGUGGGAUGGUAUCAACUGAUUAUGAUAAGUGCAUUUGCUUCGAUGAAGGAUUGAGGGAUAAUCUGAGGGUUCUGAUACCUCCACAGAGGGAGCAUGUUUUUACCGUUUUUUUGGACAAUGCAAGAAUUGCUGAGUAGGAAUAAGAGGGAUUCAGAGCCCUCUAGUUCUGCUUAGAGGCAUAAGAAAUGGGCUAGAUUUGAUGAGCCUUCAAGGGUUGAGGUUCUAGUUGGUCCUAUUGUGGCUCAGUCGUGUAGGGAUUGUGGUAGAUGCUAUCUGGGCGAAUGUUGAAGGAGGUUAGGAGCUUGUCUACGAUGUGGGUCAAUGGAUCACCAUAUUAGGAAAUGUCCACAGCGUUCCGGUCAGAUGCAAACUCCAGCUCUGAGGUUUGUUCAGGCUCAGUGGGUAGUUCAGCAGCCGCCUAGGGGUCGUGGUCCGGCCAGGGGUGGUAACGAUUUGGGUAGAGGUCAGAGAGCACUGGGCAAGGGUGGUAAUCAGACUAAGGCAAGGCAACCUACACUGGUAUAUGUAGCUAAGCGUCGCGAGGACAGAGAUGUUACAAAUGUUAUCGUCGGUAUGUUUUUUAUUUAUACUGCUAUGUAUUUUGCAUUAAUAGAUAUAGGAUCAAUACACUCCUAUAUAGCUAGUUCUACUUCUACAAAUUUGGAGAUUCUUGUUGAAAGUACUUUUGGAGAGAUUAUUGUACUUAGUCUAUUGGUUCAAUCAAUUUGGGUUAAUAGACUGUAUAGGAAUGUACCAUUGGAGAUACAAGGGGUUGUGUUUUCGGCUAAUCUGAUGGAGCUACCAUUUGAGGAAUUCGAUUUGAUUUUGGGAAUGGACUGGCUCGUGGAGCAUCGAGUCAGUUUGGAUUGCACUACUAAGAGGGUUGUUCUGAUAUCUGAGAAUGAUAUAGAAGUAAUUAUAAUCGAUGAGCAUCGGGAUUACUUGUCAAAUGUAAUCUCCGCUCUUAUGGCUGAAAAGUUAAUUUGUAAGGGGUGUGAGGUAUUUCUGGCCUACAUUUGUAAUUCUUCUUCUAUGGAUUCAUUUGUUGGGAAUAUUCAGACAGUUAAAGAGUUUUUAGAUAUUUUUCUGAGGAGUUACCAGGUUUGCCUCUGGAUAAGGAGGUUGAGUUCGGUACCAAGGUUCUACCAGGUACAGCUCUAGUGUCCAUUGUUCCCUACCGCAUAGCACUGAAGGAGCUUAUGAAAGUAAGGGUUCAGCUUCAGGAACUCCUUGAUCAGAGGUUGAUUCGUCCUAGAGUGUCUUUAUGGGGGCACCAGUUUUGUUUGUGAAGAAGAAUUACGGUACUAUAAGGAUAUGUAUAGAUUACUGUCAGCUAAAUAAAUUGACGAUAAAGAACAAGUACUCACUUUCGAGGAUCAAUAAUUUGUUCGAUUAGUUUCGUGGAGCUUCUAUGUUCUCCAAGAUAGAUCUUCGUUCUGGGUACUAUCAGCUUAAGGUUAAGAAAGUUGAUGUUCACAAGACUGCUUUCAAGACUCCUUUUGGGAACUACGAGUUCCUAGUCAUGCCUUUUAGGUUUAUGAAUACUCUAACUACAUCCAUGGAUCUUAUGAAUUAGGUUUUCCAGUCGUAUUUGGAUUAGUUCAUCGUGGUCUUCAUCGAUGACAUUCUAGUAUACUCUAAGACUGAGGAUGAUCAUGACCAGCAUCUCAGAGUAGUUAUUCGAAUACUUCAUGAGAAACAACUCUACGCUAAGUUGAGCAAAUACGAAUUCUGGUUGAGGGAGGUAACUUUUCUGGGUUAUGUGGUUUCUACUGAAGGGAUCCAAGUUGAUCGUAAGAAAAUUGUGACUGUGCUUGAGUGGAAACUGUAACAGCCCGUUUUUAGUGAAAUUAGAAUAGUGGUUUCAAGACCACAAAUCUGACGAGUAAAUUUUUAUUUUUUUAUUAUUUUAAUUUUUAUGGAAUCAUAUUAAGGUUGUAUUAGAAUUUUGUUAAGAAAUUUUGAUGUUUGCAUGAUUAAUUAGGUGAAAAGGACUAAAUCAUAAAAAAAGUGUAAAAGUAGAGUUCGAUUAGUUAAAAUGGUCAAAUGGUUAUGAAAUUUUAAAGUGAAUGGACUUAGAUGAUAAUUAGACCAUUUGAAUAGUUAGUUGAUAUUCAUGGCAAUGUUUUAUUUAAAUUAUUAAAGUUUUUAAAGGUUAAAAUGGUAAUUAGGUAAUUAAUGUGAAAACAAAAGAAAAUAACAAGGUAUCAUCUUUACUUUCCUUAACCAAAACCAAUUUUGAGAAGGAAAACCUCUAUGGAUGAAUUCUUCAUUCGUCCAAGUUUUUUUUAGUGCAUGUAAGUGAUUCCAAGCCCUGUUUUUAAUGAUUAUUUUCUUAAGGUCGAUUUCGCUUAAGCCUAGGGGUCAAGUUGUAAAAUUGUUAAAGGUUGAGAGUUAUGUUAUGAAUGUUCUUGAAUGAUAUUUGAUGUUAAAUGAUAGAUUAUGAACCUUUGUUGAAAAAUAAAAAAGUUUUGUUAAGUGAUUUUUGAUGAAUUUUAGAAUUAAGGAUUAAAUUAUUAAAGGUAUAAAUUAUAGGGUUUUAUUGUGAAAAGGUGAUAAAUAUGAGUAGUUUCAAGGUCCCUUGCAUGUUUGGUUAACAUGGAAUUUGAUAGAAAUGGUUAGAUUUGAAGUUAUAAGCUUAAGGACUAAAUUGUAAAAAGUUAAAACUUUAAGGGAAAAAUGGUAAUUAUGCAUAAAUGUGAAAUAUGGAUUGAAUUGAAUGUUUGAUAUUAAUUGAAAUACUUAAUUGAAUAUAAUUAUUUGUUUAGAUCAAGACAAACCUCAACCGGAUCUAAAUCGAGGAAGACGAAAGCUACGGAUUAGCUAGAUCAUAUUUCUACAUCCUAGUCGUCAAGGUAAGUUCGUAGUGUUUCAAUAUGUAAACAAAUUUCUAUUUGUGUACUUAUAUUAUGAUGCUUUUUUUAUUAUGUUUUUUAGAAGAUUAUUGUAUAAUAGCAUAUACGUGCCACUAUUUGUACUUCGGUACCCCUAAAUGCACUUUUAUGCCCCUGUUUACACUCCAAUAACUUUGAAUGAAAUAAUAUAUGAAUCACAUUCAAUUUCUUUUAGAUUAAAUAAUAUACUAUGUUCUUACUAAUCUCUAUAAGCUUAUUCGUUAUUGUGGAUUGUUUUGUAGAUCAUCGUUGCUAAUAUUUUGGACGGAUCAAACCAUCUGCUUACACUAUCCAUUGAUGUUGGUAGUUUUUGUAUCUCCUAGGGUAGUGGCAUGUAUAAACUUAUGUAGAUGAAUUUGUGUGUGAAAUAUUUAGGAUGUUUUAAAAUGGUGUUUUGAUGAAUAUGUAAAUAGUAAUUAAAUGUGUUAUGUAUGCAUAAUAGGUUAUAAUGUUUGCUUUAGAAAGUACUUUUGGUCACUUUUGAUAAUGAAUGAGAAUGGCUUAAAUGGUAUGAUUUGAAUUGGUAUGUCAUAGCCAAGUUAUGACAUUUUUUCGAAAGUAUUGAACUAGAUUUUGAUGUUUGAAAUUAGGUAAAUUUGACAUGUUUAGGUAAGUUUUUAUGAUUACUUUUGAGGUGCCUUUGAAUGGCAUAUUGCUUAGUUGAAAUAGGACUUUUGGAAUGGAAAAUAUAUGCAUAUUUAGGUAUGGUUUGAUGCUUUAUAGGUGUGCACAACUUGUUCAAAUGAUUACACACGAUAUGGUGUUGAGGAUGACUUGUUUUUGGUGCAUUUUAGGUCAACAUGGCUAGAGACACGAACAUGUGACUCAGCUAUAUGUAACACAUGGCCUGGUGACACGGCCAUGUGUCUCCUGAAGGUUCCUUUGUAUGCAAGCCAGUGAGUUACACGGCCUGGCACACAGGCUUGUGGGGUAAUUUUAAGAGUUAGAUGGCCUGACACACGAGCAUGUGACACAGCCGUGUGACCCUACUCAGAGAGUUACAUGGGUGAGGACACCGGCUGGGACAUGGUUGUGUGUCCCUAGUUCGAAGGUUACACGGCCUGAGACAUGGGCGUGUGUCUCAGUCAUGUAAGACACACAAACUGGCCCACGGCCAUAUAACCCAUGUAUUCAAAUUUUCUAUAACUUUUUAUUAGACUUUUCAAAUGUCUUAAUUUAGUCCCGAAUUAUUUCUAAAAUAUUUCUAAUGCCUCAACGACUUGAUUUAGGGACGGAAUAAGUAUGUAUGAUUGUAUUAUGAUAUGUUUAUGAUAGUGUAUGAUAUUUAUGUUUAAAUUUUCUAAUUAUACGGUAAUGGUCCGUAACUCUAAUCCAGUGAUGGAUACGGGUUAGGGGUGUUACAGAAACAACCUAGGAAUGUUUCAAAGAUCCAUAGCUUCUUCGGGCUAGCGGGUUACUAUCAGAGGUUUUUUGAGGGGUUCUCACUUAUCACAACUCCUUUGACUAAGUUGUUUCUUAAGAGUGACCCAUUUGUCCGGUCUGAUGAGUAGGAAUCGAGCAUUGAGAAGCUCAAAUCCAUUUUGACUCAGGUUCCUAUUCUGAUACAACCUGAAUUCAGUAAGGAAUUUGUGGUUUACAAUGAUGUGUCAUACGUCGGUUUGGGUUGUGUUCUGAUGUAAGACGGUAAAGUAGUAACUUAUGCGUCCCAACAGCUUAAGUCACACGAAGGCAACUAUCCUACACAUGAUCUUGAGUUAGUUGCAAUUGUCUUCGCCUUAAAAAUCUGAAGGCAUUAUCUGUAUGGUGAGAGGUGUAUCAUUUACACCGAUCACAAAAGCCUCAAGUAUCUCCUUACUUAGAAGGAGCUAAACCUUAGGCAACGUAAAUGGAUUGAGUUGCUUAAGGAUUACAACUGUACUAUUGAGUAUCAUCCUAGUAAGGCCAAUGUGGUGGCUGAUGCUCUUAGUCGUAGAGCAAUGUCUGAUUUAAGGGUGAUGUUUGCUUGCUUAAGUUUGUUUGAUGAUGGGAGUUUGUUAGCUUGCAAGUUAAGUCGACUUGGAUUGAUUAGAUUGGGGUUAAAAAGUUGGAGGAUGAUUUUUUUGUUUUGCGAUUCAGUCAGGUUGGGGAUGGUAGUACGUUUGAUUUUGGCCUUAAUAGUGAUGGGGUUUUGAGUUUCUGAGAAUGGGUCUGUGUACCUAACGACUCUUAUUUGAGGCAAUCUAUUCUGUGAGAAGCACAUAGUAGCCCCCAUGCUAGACAUCCCAGCGAAAACAAGAUGUAUCGUGAUUUGUGUAAGUUAUACUGGUGGUCGGAAUUGAAACGGAAGGUAACAGAUUUUGUUUCUCGUUGUCUAACAUGCCAACAAGUUAAGGCCGAGCACUAAUUGCCUUCAGGUUUGCUUCAACCUAUUAAGAUUCCCCUAUGGAAAUGGGAACAUGUAACUAUGGACUUCGUUAGUGGGUUGCCCUUAGCACCCACUAAGAAGGAUUCUGUGUGGGUCAUUGUGGAUCAGUUGACCAAGUCUGACCACUUCAUUCCUGUUAGGACAGGUUACUCUAUUCAAAAAUUGGCUAAAUUAUAUAUUUCUAAGAUCGUGAGACUUCAUAGGGUUCUGGUCUUGAAUAUUUUUUAUAGAGAUCCUUGCUUCACUUCUCGAUUUUGGAAGAAGUUUUAUGAGGUUCUAGGUUCAAGAUUAGAUAGAUGGUUAAUCUGAGAGGGUGAUUCAAAUACUAGAGGAUAUGCUUCGGAGUUGUGUGAUUUAUUUUCGAGAUAGCUGGGAAGAGUUUCUACUAUUAGCUAAGUUCGCUUACAAUAAUAAUUUCCAGUCUAAUAUUCAGAUGACACCUUACGAGACUCUAUAUGCUUGUAAGUGUCGUACUCUGUUGUGUUGGACUGAGUUAGGUGAACGAUAAGUUUUGGGUCCUGAGUUGGUUUCUGAGACUGAGGAUAAAGUUAAAUUAAUUCGGGAUCAUAUUAAGGUGGCUUCUGAUAAACAAAAGUCUUAUUCGAAUCUGAAGAGGCAAGAUAUCAAGUAUUUUAUGGGUGACUAUGUUUUCCUUAAGGUAUCUCAGUAGAAGAAGGUCUUUAGGUUUGGAUGUAAGGGCAAGUUGAGCCCUAGGUUCAUUGGACCGUAUCAGAUUCUAAAAGUGUAAGGCCAGUUGCUUAUCAAUUAGAGCUACCACCGGAGUUGAACCGUAUCAUGAUGUGUUUCAUAUCUGCAUAUUGAGGCGAUAUCAGUUUGACCUAUCUCAUAUUGUUUUUCUUGAGGAGCUUGAGGUAAGACCAGAUUUCACAUUUGAGGAGGAACCAGUUCAAAUUUUGGAUCCGGGAAUUAAGGUCUUGAGAAGGAAGUCCAUCCCUUUAGUGAAGGUUCUGUGGCGGAAUCAUGUCAUUGAGGAAGCCACGUAGGAACCUGAGGACUCGACUCGAUAGCAAUAUCAGCAUCUAUUUAAGUUAGGUAAAUUUUGAUGUCGAAAUUUUCUUUUAUGGGGUAAAGUUCUAACACCCCAAGGUUUAAGACUUUGUUUUGCUACAUUUUGUCAAGUAAUCAGACUUGUUUCGGUGGUUAAGUAUUUGGAUAGGAGUUUAGGGUUCGGGGUUUGAACCCUUGUACGAGCAAUUAGGUGUAUUUAUUUUCUUUUGUUGUUCUCUGUGUGUGCUGUGUAUGAGAGGAGUUAAGGUGUAGUUGGGGUUUUAAUUAGAUUGGUAUUUGUGUAGGGCUAAGGUUGGUAUAAUUUGUUUUCUCUCUAGGGGAUUAAAUCCCGAAAAUAUCUCCUCAUACGCUAUUUUUCUGCUUCACGUCUCCCAUUUGUUCAACUGUUAUAAUUAUUAUUUAUUUUUCUUUAUCUUUUAUUUUUUUUUAAAAAUAAGAAGAAGGGUUUCUUUCCCAUUUCUCACAGUUGUUCCCUAUUUCCCCAAGUUCACGUCGCUACUUCUAAUUUCUACUAUUGCAUCUUGUUCUUUUUCUUUCUUUUUCUCAUUUUUUUCCCCUUUCAUUAUUUUCUUUGCUUUGGUUAUUUACUGGUUGUCGCCAAAGUAGACUGCCAUUGUAUUCCUUUUAUGCUUGGUAUUAUAUUUAGAUUAUGUAUUAUCUUAAGUCCUAUCAAUGUUCUUGCCUUUUUGUUUUUGUGCUAUUGGGUUUGUAUUCGGGGGUUGUGUUUGUCACAAUUAUAUUAUUAGGAGACGGUUAAGAGGAAAUUUGUGUACCUUCAGCCACUUAAACGACAAGUUAUUGCUGUUCAUUAUUGUGUUUUGGGAAUUUCGUGGUGGCUUUUACAUCGUAAUCAGAUUAGGUGUGUAACGAGAAACCCAAAAAACAAUAAUCGAUGAAAGCUGAAAAAGUUCUGAUGGGCCUGGAAACCAUCAAAAAUAGUUCAUACAAUUAAAAUAACUUUAAGUAGUAGUAAAGAGUGGUAGUAGGGUCGAGUCCACAAGGAUUGGUAUUAUAAUCAACUUUCGCGUUUAACUUGUGAUCAAAAUUUUUUUCGUGUCGAUAAUCGUGGCAAUAAUCGUGCCUACAACUCCAAACGAACCUGCUGAAAAAUAAACAAAUAAAUGAGGGAAGUUUUGAAAUGUUUAGAAAUUAAAUAAUUUAAAAUAGCAUAAAUAAACAAUUAAAUAAAUUGGAAAUAAAAUUAAAUUGAGAAAUAAAUUUGGAUUUUGUAAACAGAGAUAAUAAGCCUUAGCCAUAGACUCGGUGGAUUCCGAAUUUAGAAUCGAUCCACGAAAAUUAAUUUUUUCCUCCAAACCAUAAGCUGGUUAUAGCAAUUAAGAACGUCCUAACCACCAAUUCUUCCUCUCGUAGCUGGUCCCAGUACGACCUGCAAACCAACCCUUAUCGAUUAUCUAACCGAGAUACGCGUAUUCCUGAUUCAAGAUUCCGGCAGCCUUGCAUUCUGAAGAACCCAAAUCGAAUUAAUGGACUCAACUGUGCAGGUCAUUUAAACCCAAUCAUUUCUCCCUUAAUUUGUUCUCGAAGAUCCGAAUACAGCAUGGCUGACUCGUUUCCCCAACUGUCCACAAACACGACUCCAACCCAACGCGCUUUUUGAUUUGAAAUCACGUUAACUUUAAGGGAUGAAUUUGUCAAUCCUGAUACUUAGGAAAAUAGUGAAUACUGAUUGAAAGGAUUUUUAGUAUGGAUACGUAUCUCACGAUUCUUGAUAAGAAAGAAUACUGGCCUAAAGCUAGGUUAGAAUUUAGUGAAACAUGAAAUUACUAGACCAUUUCGGUGACCAAUGUAACCUUAAAAAGUUGGCCAUAAUGUUUAGGCCGAGUUUGAGAGACUACAUGAGAGAUGCUACAGCAAAAUAUCCUUAAGGACAAGGCAAUCACACCUCAAACAGUAAAACCAUCCUUUAACUUUGAUUUUCCGUCCAACAUUUUACAAAAGAUUCACUUGUACUUACCAACUAUGAUGGUGAAAAAUGUCUAACCAUUCAAGUUUCAACUUGACCUUAGAUCUACUCAGGCCUACUCGAUGUGAAAAUUAGCUUGUUUAGGCUAUAUCUAGGUCUAUCCAAUCGUACGUAGGUGACCCAAUUAUACCUUUGGUUAUAUCUUAGUUGCUUGAUUAUUAACUUUUUUUUUUAUUUUGUCACUCAAUUUUUCAAAAUUAAAUAUUUUAGUUACUCUUUCGUUAAUUGCCAUUAGAUGAGUGGUAGAAAGCUUACAGAAGCUUCUUUUAUUGGCUUAGUAACAAAUUUAGCCUUCCAAUGUUUACACAUUUUAUCAAUUUGAUUCUAAAUCUAAAAAAUUCAACAAAAUUAGCUCUCAAUGUUUACAAAAGUUUUCAUUUUAGUUCGAAUUGUAAAUAAUUCAAUAAAUUUAUCCCUCAAUAUUUACAAAAAUUUCAAUUUAGUUGUAAUUCUCAAAUUUUCUAAAAUGAAGAAAGUUAUUUUAAAAACUUCAUUUUUUAAUAUUCCUUUAAUGUACCUCCAAAACCCACUGAACAAUAAGAGUAUUUAAAGUCAUUCGUAUUGUGUUCAUUUUAAACUCAUAUCACCUUCGUGAAUAUGGUAAAAAAAUCUUGUUGCGUUAAAUCCAACUAUCUAAGUGUCACAUUUUAGACCAAUAUCAUAUUAUUUAAUUAAAUUCCUUUAAAAAAUUAACAAUUUUUUAAACUAUUACAAAACAAUUAUUUUUAAUUUUUUCUUAUUUUAAAAAUAUAAAAAUACCUAAUCUUCGAAUAGAGAAAAUAAUGUAAUGUGAAAUCUUUCAUGAAAUGAAAAACCGAAAAAAGUUUUUUUUUCACCUUAUUUUUUUUCUAACUUGGACUGUCGUUAGUAACUUCCCAACUUAGGUAGUACAAGUACAUCAGUCAAACGACUAAAGUCUUAGAAAUCUAGUCCAGGAAUUGAAUAUAUGAGUUGAAUUGAAGUAAGGGAGAUAGCUUCAUCAAUUCCAUAUCCCAUGGGGAUGUCCAACUUCAUCUCUUUAGUACCCAUCGAUCAAUUUCAUGUUCAGUUCUUUUUGAAUCAUUUGAUAUAUCGUUUUUUAGUAUUUUUUAUUUUUAAUACAUAUGUUUUAUAUAUGAUUUAUUUACACUUUUUAGAUUUUUAAUUCAUUCUUAUAAUUUUUUAUCCAAAAUACUUUUUUUUCCUUUUUUUUAAAACUUUUAGAAUUAAAACUAAAUCGACAAAUUUUGUAAAUGCAGAAAGAUAAUUUUUUUCUUUUUUAGAAUUGGAAUUAAAAGGAUAAAUUUUGUAAAUAUUAGAGGGCUAAAUUUGUUUAGGUCAAUAAAAGAAGAACACAUAAGCUUUCCAUCACUUAUCUGACAACAACUAAUGAGAGAGUGACUAAAAUAUGACUAAAUUAAAAAAAUUAAUAUUUUGCGACCAAAAUAGAACUAAAGUCAUAGGUAGGUUGACUAUUCUUGUAGUUUACCCUUUAAUUUAUAAAUUUUUUUAUAUUUUAAAUUUUAUAAAUAUUUAUAACAUAUAUUUUAUGAGAAAAUAUUUGGGUACUUUGCUAGUGAAGUUUUUUGACUCCAUAAGCAAGGUUAAGGGGGUCGACAAGUAUCUUAUAUAAAUAUAGUAAAAUAUUAAAUAAAUAAAUAUUUAUAAACAAAAUAAAGGACACAUGACGGUUAUUAAAAGUAUAAAAAUAAUACAUUACCAGUAUAUCAAAUAUUAACCCAUAUUUUAGUACGAGGAAAAAAAAAAGCAUCUCUAUUUAGAAACCUUUAUGUAUAUGAAUAUAAUGAGUAGAUGAGAUGAAACCUUUUGGUUAGAGUUGUGAUUGAUUUGGAUUAAAAUUAAGUAUGUACCGAAAGGAAUCCAAGUUAAGCAACUUUGGAAUGCUUUGAUGCUACUUAUAGUUGGAGAAGACAAUGAAAGGCUUCGUUGGGGUCUUUUCCUUUUCUUUUCACUUAUUUUUAACCAAUUUUGGUGCUUUGCUUUCUUUUCAUCAAUUAUGUCUCACUUUAAAUGUAUAUAAAUAGUUAAUAAAAAUGUAUUUAGAAAAAUAAUAUUAAAAAUUUAAAUCUCAUUAUUUUAAAAAAAUUUAAAAAAAGUGCCCCAUUUUUUUUACAUAUAAUCGGGGGUGGGGAUGAAAUUGUUUGGGAUUAAAGUCAAGUUCUCGUGCCUCACAACUUAAUGCUCUUGCCACUAAGUUAAAAUAUUAUUAACAAAAAGUAUCUCGAUUUUAAGUUAUCAUCGAUUUAUUCACAUUUUAUAUCGAUGAAACUUAUUUUCUAUGGGUUGAAUAAAUCUAAUUUAAAAUAUUAGUUAAUAUAUAUAUAUAUAUAUAUAUAUAUAUAUAUAUAUAUAUAUAUAGUUAGUAGUUAGGUUAGUUNNNNNNNNNNNNNNNNNNNNNNNNNNNNNNNNNNNNNNNNNNNNNNNNNNNNNNNNNNNNNNNNNNNNNNNNNNNNNNNNNNNNNNNNNNNNNNNNNNNNAAUAUAAAUAUCUUUUUAAAUAUAAAAUAUAUAUAAACUUAAAUAAAUUUGGAUUAACGAAUUAAAACUCAUAUUUUGAAUUGAGAUAAAUUUAAAUAAAUACAUAUAAUAUUAUAUAUUAUAUAUUGAUACAACUCAAUCCAAAUCACUGUUACUAAGUUCUUUAUUAGAAUAAAAAUUCUUAAAAUUUUCUAAUUAUUGAAGUAUCAUUAAUUGCCAAUAUCUUGGGGCAAGUAAUAAGGGCCCAAUUUCUCAAUACCACAUAAUAAUACCAAUAAUAAGACCUCUUAAUUAUGUAAGAAAGCCUAGAAAUAAGUAAAUCCAAUGGGCCAGCCCAGAAUAAAAUCCCAUUGAAUAAUAGCUAAGCUUUUUAGGGUAUGGGUGUGGUGAAGUUGUGAUAUGGACCAUUAGACUUGUAUAUGAGUCAGGCUACCCACUUGAAAAGUGGGAGGGUUUGAGUAAAAAUAUGAAUUUGAAAUUGAGCUUGGGCAAAAAAUAAGGCUCAUUUAAAAAAUGGGCUAGGCCUCGGGUGAGGGUUUUUUUUUGCCUAGGCUCGGGCCGGCUCAAAUAUGCAAAAAAAAAAAGUGUUGCUUUUUACUGUUAUCUUGCUAUUUUCUUGUUGUUUUUUCCACUAUUUUGCUACCAUUUCACUAUUUUGUUGCUAUUAUUUUGUUGUUAUUGUAUAACUCUUCUUUUAUUGUUAAUUUUGUUACUAUUUUAGAGGCAUUUGCUUGUUAAAUUGCACCUAUGUUAGUGUUAUUUAAGUAUAAAUAGUUUUUUUAAUUUAUUUUCAAUUUGUUAGGAAACAUUUAUUUUAAUAUUUUUAGUAUUUUUAUAUAUUAUAUUUUUUAUAAAAAAAUUAAUACAAUUAGGCCGGGCCCGAGUUUUAGCAUUUUUAUCCGGGUUAGACUUGGACAAAAUUUUAGGCCAAUUUUUCAAGUCGAUCGAACUUGGGCCUAGCAAACAGGCCUAAAAUUUUAGUUGAAACCAACCCGAACUCGAUCCAGCCCGACCCAUAGACACCUCUAUGAACCAUUAAUAGUGGGACAUGUCAUUAGUUAAAACAAUUUAGAAUCACUAUGAUAAAUUAUGCAAAAACAUGUUAAAAAAAUAAUCUAAAUUAAAUCAUAAUGAUAAACUACACGAAAUAUAAUACUAAUCAGAACAUAGCACAAAAAUAAUAUUAAAAAUUAUUAUAUUUUAUCCAAAGAAAUAUCAUUUCACAAAAUUCUUAAACAUAUGCUUCCAAAUUAUGUUAUUCACUCAAUUGUUUCAUUUUGAGCAUAAUAUUUGUAUUAGUUAUAUUGGUAUAAGACAUCUUGUUAAGUAUGACUCCUAUUUCAAUCAAAUUUGAGAAAUAAUUUUCCAGUUAAACUCUGUUUAUUUGUUUCAAUCAAACUCUGAUUAGUCUAGAUUAUUUUUUUUAAUAUUUGACCUAUUAAUUUAGCCUAUAAAUAGACUCUUUUACAACCUUAGAAAAUACAUACAUUUGAGAUUAGGACUCAUAACACUUUUAGAGAAUUUUGUGUUUACGUUUUGAGGGUUCUUUUUUGUCGAGUUUUCGGGAUUUAAUUUUUAUCUACAUCCUUUGUGCUCUUCAUUUUUUUUCCAUUAUAGUAAAAUUAUAUUUGCCCGUGGUUUUUUUAUCCUCUUUGGAGGGAUUUUUCCACGUUAAAUUUGUGUGUUCAAUUUCUCAAUUUCUUCCGUUAUUUUUUAUUAGUUCAUUGCUUAAUUGGGUCAAUCCCCAACAAGUGUUAUCAGAGCUCGUUCAAUUUUCGUAGAUCAGCCCAUUCAGAUAUGACAGUAACAAGGUUUGAAAUUGAGAAGUUCGAUGGUGUCACAAAUUUCAAUCUGUUGCAAGUUCGAAUGAUGACAAUUCUAGUUCAAACUGGCCUGAAAAAUGUUGUCACCGGGAAAAAGCCUGAGAAUCUAAAUCAAAUAGAAUGGGAAGAGCUUGAUGAAAAGGCAUUGUCUGUAAUCCAAUUGUGCCUCGCGAAUAUGGUAUUGCAGGAGGUAUUAAUGGAGAAGACCUCAUCCACCUUGUGGAAAAGGUUAAAAACUCUUUAUGCGACUAAGUCUCUGGCUAACCAUUUAGUGUUGAAACAACGUCUAUUUACGUUUCGCAUGAACGAAAGUAAGCUUCUUAGAGAUCACAUCAGUCAAUUCAUUACUCUUUUAAAUUAUUUAAAGAACGUUGAGGUUCAAAUUGACGAUGAAGAUCAGACUAUGUUACUAUUGUGCUCUUUACCCCUUUUAAUACAAGUCUUUCAAGGAGACCCUGAUUUAUGGUAGAGACAAACUCUUAUUCGAAUAUGUGAAGGGUCAUUUGUUGAGUAAAGACAAACUCGACAAUGAGUUUGGUUCGGAUAGCAAGGCAGAUAGGUAAGCUUUCGUUUUGGUAGAAUCAAAGAAGCGAGACAAAAUGUGUCGCUAUUGUAAAAAGUUAGGUCACGUCAAAGCAGAUUGUUAUAAACUGUGAAAUAAAAUAGCUGCUGAGAGUAACGAGGAAGAUAUAGUUAAUGCUAAUUUGGCCAAUGAAAGCGGUGAUGAUUUCUUAUUAGUGUCAACGAGCGAUAACUCCAAGCUUACGUCCGAGUGGAUCCUAGAUUCGAGGUCUUCUUUCCACAUGUGCCCCAAUAGAGAAUGGUUCUCAAUAUACAGUUCGGUUGAAGGUGGAGUUGUGCGCAUGAGAAAUGAUUCAUCUAGUAAGGUAAUUGGUAUUGGUACGGUUCAAAUUAGGAUGCACAAUGGGACGAUUAGAACACUCUCAUAUGUCAAGUAUGUACCUGAUUUACGAAAGAAUCUCAUCUCAUUGAGUAUUUUAGGCUCGCAAGGAUGUAGAAUCAACAUCGAGUUGAGUGGCAUUAAGGUAUCUCUUGGAGCUCUCGUUUUGUUAAAAGGUAAAAAGACCAGCAGUCAUUAUAUUCUGAAAGGUUCUACAGUGACUGGUGAAAUCGGACAUCCAUCAUCCAUUACGGGGUCGAAGUCAACUUGUUUGAAGCGGAGACAACUUGGUCAUAGGAGAGAAAAAGGUAUAAUCGUUUUGUUGAAGAGAGUUUCUCAUUUGGAUGUAGGUUUUGAAAAGUUAGGACACUGUUUUCAUGAAAAUCAGACCCGAAUUAGUUUUGAUUUGGUAAUAUACAAGUCGAAAGCUAGAAUUCUUCUAGUUUCUAAGCACAAAUUCGACUCAAUUAAUUCUCUGCAUAGUUCAAGAUAGGCCCGUGGCAGGCUUUGGCAAAGAUGGCGUUGUGGAAAUAUGAGUCAAGGUGGAGAUUUGUUAAGUAUGACUCCUAUUUCAGUCAAAUUUGAGAAAUAAUCUUCCAAUUAAACUCUGUUUAUUUGUUUCAAUCAAACUCUGGUUAGUCUAGAUUAUUUUAUUAUUAUUUGACCUAUGAAUUUAUCAUAUAAAUAGACUCUUUUACAACCUUAGAAAAUACACCUAUUAGAGAUUAAAACUCAUAACACUUUUAGAGAAUUUUGUGUUUACGUUUUGAGGGUUCUUUAUUUUCGGGGUUUAGUUUUUAUCUCCAUCUUUUGUACUCUUCGUUCUUUUUCCAUUAUAGUAAAAUUAUCUUUGCCCGUGGUUUUUUUAUUCUUUGGAUGAGUUUUUCCAUAUUAAAUUUGUGUGUUCAAUUUCUCAAUUUCUUCUGCUAUUUUUUACUUGUUCGUUGCUUAAUUGGGUCGAUCCCCAACACAUCUGUAAUAAUUCAAUAUUUAAGAAAAUGAAUUUAAAAUUAAAAUCGAAUCUUAUGAAAAAUUAUACAAAAUAUAAGAUGUAUUGAACGCAACAUGGUAAAAAUAAUUUGUACAUGACGUAACAGAAAAAAAAAAUAUAUAUGAAUAUAUAUAAACGUAUUAAAAUUUAUAUAAAACAAAUUAUUAAUUUUAAAAUUUUGUAAAUUUAUAAUACUCUAAACAAGCAAAAAAAAUUAUCACAAAUAUCACGUCAUAAACAAUAUUUAAAUUGAAUAACUAAAAUAAAUUAUGAUGAAUACGUAAUAAAUUUCAACACAACAAUGCACGAAAAAAAUUACAUAAAAUAAAUUAAGAUUAUACACGAAAAAAAUAUAGAAAAUAAUUAAAUACACAAGAAAACUAAUAUUAAUAUAAUAUGAAUAUAUAAAUGAUGCAUGGUAAACUAAAAAUGCACCUAUCAAUUAAUAGUAUAGCUACGGUGAGUAAAAAUAUCGUUUCCGUUAAGACUAAAAGUAUUAGUAAUUAUUGUUUUUCUAUUAUUUAACCGAUAAAUUCGAGUGAUUGAUUAAAAUUAAAACUAACUAAAUUAAUUAACUACGAAUGGGACAAAGAACAAAAUAUGAAAAUAAUCGAGUAAAAACUAAAAAGUGAAACAAUACCCAAGAAAGAAUUCAAAUAGAUUUCAUUUAUCACUGCCAAUUUAAAUUACGCAAUUUCUUUAUUUAGUAACUUGAUCCGUAAAAAUCCCUAAAUUAUGCUAAUAUCUAGAGGUGCUCAUGCCCGGCCCGGCCCGACGGCCCGCUCGAAAUAUGGGAGGGUUCAGGUAAAAAUAUAGGCCCGAAAUAUGUGUUUGGGUAAAAAAACGAGGCCAUUUAGAAAACAGGCCGGGCCUCAGGCACCACUUUUUUGGCCCGGGCCUGGCCCGAAUAUAUAAUAAAUAUAUUUUUUAUUUUUAAAAUAUUUUUCAAACACUUUUUUUAUUUUUAAAAUAAAUUUUUGGUGUUUAUUAAAAAAUGGGCUAGGCCGGGCUCGGGCAUAGGAAUUUUUUCUCGGGCCGAGCCUGGACAAAAUUUUAGGCCCAUAUUUCGGGCUGGACCGGGCCCAGGCCUAGGACGCGGGCCGAAAAUUUUUUUGGGCCCGGCCCAACGCAUGAGCACCUUUACUAAUAUCUCUUUCGAGAGUAAGAGCAACUGACUCUAGGUUGAUUAAUUAAAACUUCUUUCUUAUUAAAACCCUUAUUAUCGCAUUAACUCGAGCUAUGGAUUAGGGGUGAGCAUUCGAUCGAAUCGAAUCGAAUCGAAAAUUUUCGAGUUAAUCGAGUUUCCGAAUCUCAUUUUAUCAUCCUAACUUUAUUUGAAGUUUUCUCGAAUCGAGCCGAGUGAGAUGAAAUUCGAAUCGAAUCGAAUCGAAUCGAAUAUAUUUGUUCGAGUUAAAUUUUAAAAAAUAAUUUUAGGUCCUUGUAACCAUUGUCACCCAUCAUAAUAAAAUUUGUCCACCUUAAUCAAAUUUUUUAUUAACUUUCAUCACUUCAUAAUUUAUUUAUUAAUUUUUUAUAUACUGGUUAGCUUCUUUACUUGCUUAGUUGUUUCAAUUAUCUUCAGAUUCUUGUCACUAUGUAUUUUAGAAUUAAAAAAUAUAUUAAAUGUAAAAAUAUGAUUUUUUAAUAAAAGUUAUUUUAAAAAUAAAAUGUGAAAUUGAUACCAAUAUAAAAUUUUAACACGAAUAUUUUAUGGCAUAAUUAAGAAUCCAAUUUUAAUAUAAAUAUUCAAUAUGACUAAACAAUUCAAUAAUAGAAAUAAUAUAAAAUAUGAAAUUUAAUUUAAUAAUAUAAAUAGUAGAUAUAACUAAAAUUAUUACUAUUUAUGUUUAGUGAUUUUUUUGGAUAAUUUUGAUUUUUUAUUUGAGAGUAAAGGGUGAGAAGUAAAAGUUUGGGAGAAAAAUAAAAAGUUUUGGGGAAUAAAAGUUUGAGGGAAAGUAAAUCCUAACCCUUCACAAACCGAUCCAAAAUAUUAAAAANNNNNNNNNNNNNNNNNNNNNNNNNNNNNNNNNNNNNNNNNNNNNNNNNNNNNNNNNNNNNNNNNNNNNNNNNNNNNNNNNNNNNNNNNNNNNNNNNNNNGGGAGGGUUUGGGAUAGAUGGGAGGUGGGAUGGGAAGAGAAUAAAAGUUUUAGGGGAAAAGUGGGAGGGAGUAAAAAUUUUGGGGGAAAACAAAAGGUUUUGAGGGUUUUUGGGAGUAAAAUUUUGAGAAAAAAUAAAUAGGAGAGUAAAAUUUUGGUGGGAAAUGGAUUUUGGGUAUAUUGGGGGUUUGGGAGGGGAGGGGAGUAAAAGUUUUGGGGGAAAAGUGGGAAGGAGUAAAAGUUUUGAGGGAAAAGUAAAAAGGUUUGGGAGUUUGGGGUAAAAUAUAAAAUAUUAUAGUUUGAUAUUCGAAUUAUUCGAAUUAUUCGAGUUAUUCGAAUUCGAAAACUCAACUCGAUUUGAACUCAAAAUUCAAAAAAAAAUUCGAGUUGAUUCGAAUAACUCGAUUCGUUUAACUAGAAAUUCGAAUUUUUUUUCGAUUUUUUCGAGUCGAAUCGAGUUUUGCUCACCCCUACUAUGGAUUCCUCUAUUAAAUUUGACUCUUAUCCAGUAGAUUUAUGUCAUCUUAUUUCUAGGAAUGCAUGCAACUCCACUCAAUUACGAAAGAUUUACUCUUAAAGAGGGUCUAUUUCUCCUCUAAGUUAAGCACACCAUACAUGGAUCAAUAAUCUAAAAAUAUUAAACCAAGAAUUAAGCACACAUAAUUGAUAACAAUAAUAGAAUAGUCAAAAUAAUACAUAAAUUAUAUAUAUUAUAUAUUAUAUUACAAGGUUUCAAGCUCACAGAUGACAUGAACAGUUUAUUUUAUUGCCACGCGAGUUGUUUAAUUUGAUGACACGUGAAUUUCUUCUUAUUAUUUAUUUAAAAUCUAUAGCUUUUUGUUGAAAAUAAAGAUGACAUAAAUUAAAUUUAAAUAUUAAUAAUUUCUAAUUUCUUAAAUAGAAUAAACAAAUUUCAAAUAAAGUUAAUAAAUAUUUAUAAUUAACAUUAGAUAGAAUAACCAUAUAAAUUUAAUAAAGCAAAAGAUUUUAUCCUUUUAUUAACAUGAUUAAUAUGAGAUAUAUCGAGUCUUAGUUCGAUUAGUAUUAGCAUUGUUGUCAAUACAAAAAUAUGUGAGUUCGAGUGUGUUUAUUCUUUUAUUUAAGAGUAGAGAGAUGUUAUGAAAAAUUCUAAACAUUUUAAUAAAAAAUAGAUCAACGGAUUUUAAUUAAUUUUUAGGAAAAAUUAUUCUCAUAUGGCGCAAACCAUCUUGAUACGAGAAAAAAUAAAUAUUGCAUUAGAUUAAUAACAUAAAAUAAACCAUUUCAAAUAAUUUUAAUAAAUUGAUAGAUUUAAAUUAAUAAUCAACAUGAUAGAUUAAUUGCAUUAGAUUAAUAAUUAACAUGAUAAUAAAUUGAUAGAUAAAUAUGUGGGUGUUUCCUCCACUUUCCCCACCCACGUUUUCCUUAAUUUCCUCAAACUCCAAACUCACUUCUCACCACCAUUACCCUUUGAUUAUAACUAGAAAUGAUAUGAACGCGUUUGUUGGCUUGAUGGUUAAGGUGUUUAUCACCGCAGGUGUAACCUAGAUUUGAGUCAUGCAUGUUACAUAGUUGUUAGGGCUUUACUCUCCUAUUAUAAUUCACAAAAAAAAAAAAACUAAAAAUGAUAUAUUUGUGCUGAUAGACUGAAGAUGGAUUAUGAUCAAUCUAAAUUAGUCAUAUAUAUUAAAUUCUAAUUUAAUAUUUCUUUUUUUUUUCUUUCAGAAAUCCAUUGAAGGAAUCUAAGUUUAUUACGAAAGAUGCAAAUUUGAUACAAGAAAUAUCCUAUAUUGAAUUGAGUCAAAUCAGUUGAAAAUAUUUUAAGUUAGUCGAGUUUUCAAGUCUUAUUUUAUUAUUCUAAUUCGAUUUAAUUUUUUUAAUUAGAACGAGUGAAAUGAAAUUAGAGUCGAUAAUGAAUAUAAACACCAUGUCUAAGUCCGACCCAACCGAUGUUCAACCGAAUGUGAAUCCUUGAACAGCUCUAUGGAAUAGUGAACCAUGAGUGCAAUGAUUCAAGGUUCUAUAGAUGAGCAUCAUUUUAACCAAUCAAACCUCAUAAGCAAAAAACAUAUAUAAUAUUUUCCGUCUUGAUUUGAAUGCAAUAUAAAAUUUGGUUUUAACUGUCAUUUGCUUCGCAUAUCAUCCCUACCCGAAUACGAAUAAAUAUUUUAAUAUAUUGAUAGCAAACUAAUUUUAUGUGUUUAAUGUACUUAAUUUUUGUCAAUUUUUGAACAGAAUACUACUAAGCUUGUGAUUUCUCACUUAAAUUUUAUCAGGGACGCAAUUAGAGUGUCGAAAUUCAAAAAUAAGCAAAAUCAGGCUAAAUUGAAACAAAAAACAAGUUGUGGGGCUGAAUUGAAAAUUAAAAAUUUAUUUUUGGGAUGAUAAAAAAAUUUAUCAAAAUUUUGGCUUUGGAAAAUUCUAUAUUUAGAAAACUUAGGUUGUUAAGCAUGAAUCUAGGGGUAAAUUAUGUGAAAUUGGAUUUUUGAAAGGUGUAUAUAAAGGCUUGUAAUUGUGGUGUGAGAACACACACUUGAAUUGAAAAGGAAAUUUAGCGCAUUUUUUACGUCUAUUGCUUUUGAAGCAUUCUACCAUUUCUUUCCCCUUUUUAUACUUUGGUGUAAUUUCCUUUUAGUCCUCUCCCCUUCUUCACCUAUUAACAUUCAUUAAAAUCCACUCUUAUAAUCCAAUCAAGUAUGAUUAGUUUUAUGCUUAACUAACCUCCAUUUAUCUUUAGGCUGGUUAUCAUUCCGAUCGAGAAUCGUGAGAAAUGAACUCAUACUAACAACCUUACAACACUAUGUUUAUUAUCUCUUGGAAUUUGGGAUAGUCACAAUCAUCCCUUAAAGUUAAUUCAAUUUCAAUUCAAAAAGCAUGUGUUGGGUUGGAGUUGUUUAGCGUAAAGUUGGGAAAAAGAGUCGGUUGUUUGCUUUAUUCAGAUUCCCGCGAACAAAUUGGCGUGUCUAGGUGGGAAAAGGCUAGUUGGAUUUCGUCAAGGGAGAUAAUGAUUAGAUUUCAAUGACCCACGCGGUAAAGGUCGUUAAUUCGAGUUGGGCCAUUCUAGAUUGCAAGGUUGCCGAGAUCUUAAAUUACGAAAGCGUGUUACACAGUUACAUAGUUGGUAAGGGUUGGUUUGCAGGUCGUACAGAAAUCAACUAUACAAGAAAGAGUUACUGGUUGAGGCGUCAUUGAUCUCUAUAACCAGUUUAUCGUUUGGCACAAGGAAAAUUCACUUUCAAUGAUCAACUCGAGUUUGGAAUAUUCUGAGUCUAAGGCUAAGAAUUCGCAUAUUUGAUUUCCUAAUUUAAUUUCAAUUAUUUAAUUUUAUUUUUCAAUUAUAAUUCAAUUAUUAUUUUGUUCUAUUCAUUUAAAUAUUUUUAACUUUAAUCAACUAAAACCCCUUUUGAUUUAUUUUUAGCUUAGCACGUUACAAGUCUUAGGCAUGACAUUUGUCCUAACUUUGGAAUCUGGUCAUGCUACAAAUGAUAUUAGAAAUCUCAAUUCCUAUGGGAUUGACCUUGCUUCUCUGUACUUCUGUUUAGUUCAGUUAGAGUGUAGGAAAUUUUUAUUUGGUGGUCUUGAUAACCAUCAAAAUUUGGCACCGUCAUUGAGGGCUUGAAAAAUAAUUAUAAUAUUUGUUUCUUUUACUAAUGAUAAGGUCAGAAUCAGAGACCUUAGAGUUUGAAUCAAAAAUUGAGAAGUUAGUUCAAUCACUACAAAUAAAAGCUAUUCGACACGGAAAACAAUCGCAAGUGAAAGAAUCUGAAUACGAAACACUAUCUUACAUGGAAAAAAUUAAUGAUACUCUCAAUGAACUAAAAGAGAUGGCGAACCAAACCAUUCGACAACUCACUAUGGCACUAGAUGAGCAACAACUGCUGUGCAAAACUUAUCUAGCGGGAGAAAUACCAUUUGAGUUAAAGUUGGGCUUAAUUCAUCUAUUCCCCACUUUCUGCAGUUUGGAAAACGAGAAUCACCCAACUCAUCUUAAGUAAUUCAACAUGGUUUGCUUAAGCAUGAAGCCUCAAGGAGUAACCGAAGAUCAAAUUAAAGUUUGAACUUUUCUUUUUUCGUUAGCUAACUUUGCUAGAGAGUGACUAUUUUAUUUACCUUCAAGAUCAAUUAAUACAUGGUCUGACAUGUCUCGCUUGUUUCUUGACAGGUUCUUUCUAGUAGCUUGGGCAAUUAAAUUAAGGUGAGAUAUUGUCAGAAUACGACAAAAGGAGAUCGAAUCACUCUAUGACUAUUAGGAAUAGUAUAAGAAGUUAAGUGUAAGCUGUCGACAACAUUGCCUAACUAAAUAAUCAUUUCUUCUAUAUUUCUAUAAGGGGUUACUCCCUAUGGAAAUGAAGAUGAUUGAUGUUACCAAUGGAGAGGCACUUGUUAACAUGACUCCUCAAUGAGCAAGAAAAUUGAUUUCAACCAUGGCUGCGAAUUCCCAACAAUUCCGACUAACUAUAGAACCUACAAGAUGGGUUUCUGGGCUAAGUACUCCAUCAUUAGAAGAUAAAAUUGAUAGGCUCACUAAUAUAGCUCAAAAUUUACUUACAAGAAAAACAAACUCAACUCGGUUGUGCAAGAUUUGCACCAUGCCUGAUCAUCCAACAAACUCGUGUUCAAUUUUACACAAAUAUACAACACAAGCAGAUGCCAUUGGGAACUUCUUAGGGCCACCCCAAAGGUGCUAUGAUCCACAUUCAGAUACUUACAAUGUGGGGUGGAGGGAUCACCCAAAUCUGAGUUAUGGAUUGAAUCCUCGAUACAACCAACCAUAUCAGCCAAGGCCACCUCCUGCUCAACAAUUUCAACCCCUAAAGUCAUAUCUUGAUGCCAUAGCAAAAAGAUUAGUUGUUAGUACUAAAAAGUUCCAAUAGAAGAUUGAAACGCACCUACAAUACCAAGAUAAGAAAAUAAGUUUGCGUUUAUGGUUAGUUAUUUGGAAUCUUAAGGAAAGUGGCUCUAUCAAACAGAGCCAAAUCCACAACAAAAUGCAAGCGCUAUAACCUUAAGAAAUAGAAUGGUUUUAGAGCCAGUACUUGGCAUGAGUCUUGAUCAUGAGACCAAAUGUAAAGUAUAGAAACUUGAUCCCAUGGUUACUACGAAGUUAGCACCAUAGAAACCGUUCGUGGUACCACCCACAUUCCUUAGAAGGCUCACCAAAUUUAAAAAGGAGUGAGAAGAGACAAAAAUCCUAGAGACGUUCCAAAAAGUUGAAAUUAACAUACCCCUGCUCGAUGCGAUAAAUUAAGUUCCACGCUAUGCAAAAUUCUUAAAAGAAUUAUGGACUGGCAAGAAGCACUUGGUAACAAAUGAGUAAGUGUAGGAGAAAACAUCGUCACAAUUUUACAAAAGAAAAUUUCGCCUAAGUGUAAGGACUAAGAUAUGUUCGAUAUAUAUUGAAAAAUAGGUAAUAUUGGCAUUAAAAAGGCCAUGUGUGAUUUAGGUGCAUCUAUUAACGUUACACCUCUAUCUAUUUAUAAAUUACUAAACACAAGUCCUUUGAAAGAAAUAAGGGUGAUCGUUCAAUUAGUGGAUAGGUCGGUUAUGUAUCCGGAAGGGAUGUUGGAAGAUGUCCUCGUCAAAGUAAAUGGACUAAUCUUUCUUGCAAAUUUUUAUAUCAUUGACAUGGAGGAUGAAAACUCAAAAAAUUCUUUCGAUAUUCUAUUUAGGAGACCAUUUUUAAGCACCGUGUGAACAAAAAUUGAUGUCCAGAGUGGAACACUAACUAUAGAAUUUGAAGAUGAAGUGGUCAAGUUCAAUGUAUAUGAGGCCAUGGGCCGCCCCAGUGUAAUGGUAAAUGUCUCUAGUGUCGAUAUAAUUGAAUCAUUGACAAAAUUACAUUUUGAAUAUCACGAAGAGGAUGAAUUACAAACUGUACUUUACAGGAGUUUAAAUCUUAAUUUGAGACAAUAACUGGGUUAGCCCAGUUCAUGUAGUGCCUAAGAAAACUAGCAUGAUUGUAAUUAAAAACCCAGCAGUUGAAUUGCUUCCCACUUGAGUCCAAAAUGGGUGGAGAGUCUGCCUAGACUAUAGGAAGUUGAAUGAUUUAACUCAAAAAGACCACUUUCCACUUAUUGCUAUCUUGAUGGCUAUUCAAGUUUCUUCUAUAUUCCAUUGGCACCGGAGGACCAAUAAAAGACGAUAUUCUUAUGUCUUUUUGGCACAUUCGACUAUAGACGGAUUCCAUUUGGACUCUAUAAUGUGCCCCACAUUCUAAAGGUGCAUGGUAAGCAUAUUUUCUGACUAUGUCGAGAAAAUAAUUAAGGUAUUUAUGGAUGACUUCACGGUUUAUGAUAAUUCUUUCAGUGAAUGUUUUUCAAACCUCACUAAGAUUUUAGAAAGAUGUAUAGAAUUUAAUCUCAUUCUGAACUAUAAAAAAUUUCAUUUUAUGGUUGACAAGGAUUAAUUUUAGGGCAUGUUGUCUCCGCUGAAUGGAUUGCAACCGAUAAGGCCAAAACUGAUGUUAGUAAUUCACAUACCUUAUGACUAUGAGGGCAAUCUGUUCUUUUUUUGGCCAUGCAAGUUUCCACAGGCGUUUUAUAAAGGAUUUUUUGAAGAUUUCACAACCACUCUGUAAUCUCUUGUAAAAAACAAAGGGUUCAAAUUCAAUCAAGCGUGCAAAGACGCAUUCGAUACAUUGAAGCAUAAGCUUGUUUCAGCUCCCAUAGUAUAACCACUGAAUUGGGAUUAUCCCUUCGAAUUAUGUGUAAUGCAAGUGAUCAUAGUGUAGGAUCCGUUCUUGGGCAAAGAAUCGAGAAGGAACCCCAUGUUAUCUCUUACGCCCCAAAAACCUUAGAUGCUGCCCAAAGCAACUAUUCGACCACUGAAAAAGAAUUAUUAGCUAUUGUUUUUGCUUUGGAAAAAAUUAGAUCAUACUUGUUAGGAACUAAAAUCAUUGUUUUCUCUAACCAUGUAGCUGUAAAAUAUUUGAUCGAAAAAAAGGAGGAGAAACUGAGGUUAAUUAGAUGGAUUUUACUUUUACAAGAGUUUAACCUCAAUAUUAAAAAUAAGAAACGAUGUGAGAGCUCAGUAGCAGACCAAUUAAGUCAAUUACUGCUCUCAAAAGAUGGUACACCAUUAAAGAAUGAUUUCUCGAACGAGAAUCUGCUUUCAGCACAAGUAGUUUACCCAUGGUACGUGGAUAUGGUAAACGGUAUUAUCUCUUCUAACUUACCACACUCUAAAAAGGACAAAAUCAAACGAGAUUCAUGGUACUAUAUUUGGGAGGACCCCUACCUAUGGAAACACUAUUCUGAUCAGGUAAUCUAACGAAAUGUCUCAAAAAUCGAGGUUUAAUCUAUUAUGGCCUUUUGUCAUUCUUAUGCUUGUGGAGGGCAUUUCUACCCCAAACGUACUGUACAUAAGGUACUUAAGUGUGGAUUAUUUUGGCCACACAUUUUUCAUGAUGCUUACUUAUUUUAUAAGACUUGCGUAAGAUUUCAAAAGGUGGGUAAUUUCAGGCAUGAGAACACACACUUGAAUUGAAAAGACAAUUUAGUACAUUCUUGCGUCUAUUGCAUUUAAAGAAUUUUGCCAUUUAUUUCCUCUUUUUGUACUUUGGUAUAAUUUCCCUUUUAGUCCUCUCCCUUCUUCACCUAUUAACCUUUAUUAGAAUCCACUCUUAUAAUCCAAUCAAGUAUGAUUAAUUUCAUGCUCAACUAAUCUCUAUUUAGCUUAAGGUCGGUUGAUGCGAGUCUCAAGGUCCAUUUAACUUACACUACCUCAAGGCCCAACAAAAAGAUCAAAGGUCAAUCAAAUCAAACCAAGAUUUGGUCAAAGAAAAUUUGUGAGGAUGAAUCUUUUUGAGGAAAUAAUGAAUGAUACAUGCACGACAAGGGGGAAAUUUAUUAAAUUUCAUUCAUCGAAGCUACCAGUUUUUAAGUUUGGGGAAUCAGUAGACUUGCAAUGACUUUUCAGAUAGGAUCCAAGCAUUGCUUAGUUUAGAUGUCAUCAUGGCAUUAGAAGAUCUAUCUCUUAGCUUCAAAAUGCACUUUGAAUCACUUAAUUUUGAGUUCGGGAGCUCAAGUUAUGAUCGUUCUAGUAAUGAUUGCGUGAGCAGAUUUUUUACGAGAUUAUUAAGGAAAUUACGAGUUUCAGGCUUUUAGUUUAAGUUUAAAUCAUAUUGGGUUCGAGUUUUAGGCUUAAUUUUUAUUAUAUAUGAGUCUAAUAUUAUAUUUAUCAGCUCUUAUUAUUUUAUUAUUACGAUUUUUUAUAAUUAUUAAGUAUUUUAAGUUAUUUAGGAGUUUUAUGUCAAAAAGAAAGUUUGUUUAAGACUACUUCUUGUUUAGAUUAAUUAGAGUUUUAGUAUACUUUAGAGUUUUAUUUAUAUGUACUUAGCUAGUCUAUAUAAAGGCUUCUUCAUUAUUCAUUAGAGAGACGAUUGUUUUCAUGAAUAAAGUUUUCAAUUUUGAGAGUUUGUUUCAUUAGGGGCUUUAAUACCAAAUAAUAGGGAAUUCGAGUCAAGGAAGCCGAUCAAUGAUUGUAUUCAAGUCGUUUAACUCGAGAAACAAAUAUUUGGAUGUGACUUGAAAUAAGAAAUAAACAAAUUUAGAAAUUAACGAAAACAUUAAAAAAAGACAUUAAAGAACUAAGAAUAAAUAGUCAAAAUAAUAAAUAAAUAAAUAGACAAAAUUUAAAAGUGGAAGAUGGAACGAGUAAACCAAUCAAUAUGAUGGAUAGAAGGAUAAGUAUCUAAUUGAACCUUUUGAAAUAUAAAUCCAAACAAACUAAAUUAAUGACUCUAAUCAUCCCUCCAAGAAAUAAUUCUUGGCAAAUUGAAGGGUGAAUAAUGAAUUCGCAUGACUGUUUGAAGAAAAUCGAGAAGAAAAUCACUUUUAAAAAUCACAAGAAAGAAAUCUUGCACAAAGAAACAAACUCCCAGAGUUGAAAAUUUUAUUAAUCAAAACAAUCCUUUCUAUAAUGAACAAUGAAGAAGCUUUUAUAUAGGCUAGCUAACUACAUUCAAAUAAAACUCUAAAGUAUACUAAAACUCUAAUUAAUCUAAACAAGAAGUAAUUUAAACUAAACUUCCUUGUUUAUCUAAGAAACAAAAACUCCUAAACAACUUAAAAUACCUAAAUAAUAUCCAAAUUCGGAAUAAAUAAAUAAUAAAAUAAUAAAAACCUAAUAAAUACAACAUUGAGCUCAUAUAUUAUAAAAAUUAAGGCUAAAAAUCAAAUCUAAUAUGAUUUAAACUUGAUUUAAAAGCCCAAAACUCGUAAUUCCCAUCAUAAUCUCGUCUAGAAAUUCUACCCAUGUAUUCUUCACUAAAAUAGUCAUAACUUCAGCUUCUGAACUCAAAAUCGAGCAAUUUAAAGUUUGUUUCGAAGUUAAGAGAUAGAUCUUCAAACUCCAUGAAGACAUCUUAACCAAGAAAUGUCUGGAUUCCAUCCAAAGAGUCGUUGCAAGUCUGUUGAUUCCCCAAACUUGAAAACGAGUAGCUUCAAUGAAUGGAAUUUAAUAAAUUUCACCAUUUUCGUGCAUGCAUCAUUCCUCAUUUCCUCGAAAAGGUUCAUCAUCACAAACUGCCUUUGAUCAAAUCUUGGUUUGAUUUGCUUGACCUUUUAUCUUGUUUUUGGGCUUUGAGGUAGUGUAAGCCCAUCACAACCAUGAGUCUGAUAUUGGGCCUUAAGACUCGCAUCACCGGUUACCAUUCCGAUCGAGAAUCGUGAAAAAUGAACCCGCACUAAAAACCUUACAACAUGAUAUUUAUUAUAUCUCCAGAAUAUGGGGUAGUCACAAUCGUAUGUUAAAGUUAAUUCAAUUUAAAUUCAAAAAGUACGCAUUGGGUUGGAGUUGUUUGGUGUACAAUUGGGAAAAAGAGUCUGUCGUCUACCGCAUUCAGAUUCAUACGAACAAAUUGGAGUGUCCAGGUGGGAAAAGGUCAGUUGGAUUCCACCAAAGGAGAUAACGAUCAGACUUAAACGACUCACGCGGUUGAGGUCGUUAAUUUGAGUUGGGCUCUUUUAGAUCGCAAGGCUGUCAAGAUCAUAAAUUGCGGAUGCGUGUUACGCGGUUAAAUAGUCAAUAAUGUUAGGAAAUGUGCACAUAUUUUAGUAAACAUGUAACAGUUUUCUAUCUAUUUGAAAGAUGAAUAAAUAAAUAAAGUUAAUUUCACAUUUCACUAUUAUAUCUUUUGUCUUUACUGUUUUUUAUAGUUUGGAUGCAUAGCGAAAUUGUGAUAAGCAAAUAUUAGCUCAUUUCUUGUCUAAAGUUCAAACUGAAGAUCAAUGGCAUUAUAAGAACAUUUACAUUGUGAGAAAGACAACUUAUUUUAGUAGAUAAUCUAAAUGAGUUUGUAAUCUCGUAAAAGAAUCAAAGCGAGCAUUUGAUUCAAAUACUGAGAAGGAUUACCAUGUCGUCUACAAUUCCAAUUGGGGAGAUGACUAGUAUUGGCUAUUGGAGCAGUUGACUCCACGAGUAGAGAUAUAGAUGUAUUCAUUGGUAGAAUGAUACAUUGGACUAGACCUAACAUGAAUUAAUUCUAAAUCUGUUUGUGGAUUAAUUUGCUUGUGACAUUCAUGGUGUGAUUUACCUAAAUCCUGAGUUAGUCACUGAUCAUGCGUAUGCAACUCAUGUGCUUUGAUAUAAGUGGAGGCUUAUGCUCUAAAGAUGUGCGAGCCUAUAGCCGGUAUGUUGGGUACAUGAUUUGUGUAUGGCAUGGCUUUAAUAGCAAUAAUGGAAUUCAUAGCUCAAUUAAAAGUUAAUGAUAUCCUAUCAUUGGCAUUGUGUGGAUUGAUAAAUAUGGAACGUGGCCACAGGUUGUUUGUUCUUGAACGAGCAAUUUAUAUCAAUCAUUUGUUGAACGUGAUCAUAUUAAUCAUUAAGAAGAUACCAUGGUGACAAUGAGAUAAAAUAGGAUUGUAUUGAAUGAAUACAUUUAACUCAAAGGAAUCAAGGAUAUCAUAUUAGGGUAACACACAUAUGACAAGGUCAUUGGAUAAAGUAGUUGGAUGAAUUGCUUACGUAAAGAGUAUACAAUAAGGAGUUUUUAAUCAUGAUACUUCUUGUGGAUUGACUCCAUGAUUAAGUAAUUGCGAAUUAUUGGAACAAUGCUUCUGGACAUAAGUGCAAUCACUAUAGCCUAAUUGUAUAUGUCCAAUUGGUUCCUCUACUAGCUCAACAAAAGUUCGAUCGAACUGCAUUUGAAUCAAAAGAAAAUUAUACAAUUUUUGAAAUAAUUUAAUUAAGUCAAUUUAUUCGAUGUGAAAUUAAAUUAGGUAGUCGUAAGAAUUAUUCAACUAAAGAAUUUGAUUAAAGAAUUUUCUUGAAAAAUUAAUUUGGAAACUCUAAGUGAUUUUUAGAAAAAUUAAUUUUGAUCAACUAAAAUUAAAUUAAUUAAAUUAAUCAAAUUAAUUAAAAUUAAUAUGAUAUUUUUAGAAAUUAAUUUUCAAGUCAAACAAUUGGCUCAAUGGGUAAUUGAACUUGAAGAUUGGAUUUGAGAUCGUAAGUUGGGCUCAGGAGCCCAAAAUCAAGACCAAACCCAAAAAUUGGCCAAACCGAGCCCGGUAUGUGAAAUCAGGCCGAUGGCUAGACCGGACCGGUCAGGUCAUCAUUGACUCGGACCGAACAAAUAACAGUCGAACUGGCUCGAGGUGCUGUAAAGGUGUUGCACCUGCAUUACCGGAUACGGCGAUGCCAACGGCUAAGGCGGCGGCAUCCUGGUGGUCGGUGAUGGUUGGUCUUCGGUGGUUGAGCAGUGAAAGAGUUACACUCCUACUGGGACUCUACCAAAGAAUUUGAUUUCAGAUUAACUAUUCUAAAAAAUAAUAUUAUUUUAAUAGGUUAAUAUUAAAUUUAAUUUAAUAUUGAUCUUAAUAUUAUUUUAUUAAUUUAAUAUUAAAGUGAUUAUUUUAAUAUUAAAUUAAAUUUAAUAUUUAUCUUGUAGAUAAACAUUUUAUUAUUUUAAUAAGAUUUAAUAUUAAAGUGAUUAAGUUUAAUCAUAGGAACUCUCUAAACUCUCCGUAUAUAAAGAGAGCAUUGAGUCAUUAUUUAAUACACACUUAAAUUCAAACGAAAGUUGUAGAAAGAAAAAUUCUCUAAAGAUAUUAUUUUAGAAAAUUUCUAGAGAUAUUUUUUAGUAAAAGUUUAGAGAAAUUGCAAAAUUACCCCACUGGUAAUUUUUGUGAAAAAUUUUCUGAUUCGAAGCAAGCUUACACUCGGCAGACGUGAGCUUUAGAAUAGUGGAGAAGACUACUCGGUCAAAGCGAUCAUCCUAGACUAAUCGAAAAGGUACAAUUUUGAUUAAGUGUUUAUUACUUUAGAUAUCACAACCAAUAUCUUGUUUUGGAAAAAAAAAUUAAAACUCUAGUUUUUUCCUAAAUUUAUUUUCCGCUACAUUUUCCAAACCCGUUUUUUCCAACAAGUAAGGGAUGGUUUGUGGGCCGUACCGGAAUCAACUUCACAAUGAAGAGUUGGCAGUUGAGGCAUCCUUGAUCACUAUAACCAACUUAUCGUUUGGAAAAGAAAAUUCACUUUUAAGGAUUGACUCAAGUCUAGAAUAUUCCGAGUCUACAACUAAGAAUUCGCAUAUUUGAUUUCCUAAUUUAAUUUUAGUUAUUUAAUUUUAUUUUGCAAUUACAAUUCAAUUAUUAUUUCAUUCUAUUCAUUUUUAUAAUUUUAACCUUAAUCAACUAAAACCCCCUUUGAUUUAUUUUCAGCUCAACAUGUUACAAGUUGUGAGCAUGACAGCUGCCACAACUUUGGAAUAUGGUCACGCUAAAAACAAUAUUAGAAAUCUUAGUUCGUGUGGGAUCGAUCCUGCUUCUCUAUACUACUGUUUAAUUAAGUUAGAGCGUAGGAAAUUUAUAUUUGGUCGUCUUAACAACCAUCAUAUAUAUAAUUAAAUAAUAUUAUAUAAUUAUGUUUAAACAUAUGUUUAGUUAAAUUAAAAUAUAUAUAUUUAUUCAAAAUAAAAAUUAUGAAAAAUAAAAAUCUUUAAAAUUCAAAAAAUAUAUAUAAAAGAAAUUCCAAAUUUCAAUGUUGUCUAAACUAGAUCGAAUCAACCAAUCGGACUGGGAAUCAACUGGGGUAUUCGUCCGAUGAGUGAUAAAAAAAUCGGUUGACUUGCGAACUAGUAUAGACUUGUUGAAUCAGAUUAAAAACUAGUUGAACUGACAAUUGAACAAAUUUAUAUAAUAUUUAAUUUUUAUUUUUAAUAAUUUAUUUACUUUGAAUUAGUUGGACCGUUCGAACCAAGAACCAAUUAGCCUAACCAGUUUAAUCAUGUUUAGGCCCAACCCAAUCUAGUCCACAAACAAGUUUACCAUGAAGCCACCUGGUAAAACUAUCCUCCCAUAUUUUGAAUGAGCUUUUGCGCUUGGGCAAGUACCAACCCUUAAAUAGUUCUACAGACCAAUGAACGACAAGUACAGUGAUUCAAGGUUUUAUAGUUAAGCAUCGGUUGAAUUGAUCAAACCUCAUCAUCAAUCUGGCCCAAUUUGAAUACAAAUAAAUAUUUUAGUAUAUUUAAUUAAUUACAAAUAUUUUUGAAGGAAUAUAAUACGUUAUAGAUAAUAUUAUCUAUAUCUAUAUAUUAUAUAUGAAAUCAACUCCUAAUAUAAUCUUUUAAGAGUUAAUAGGGGUAUUUUUGGUAGUAUAAAAAAUCUAUAGGGAUAAUUUAAUCAUUAGAACUUAAAAUGGGAAAUUUAGAUGUUUUACAAAAAAAAAUAAUUUAUUUAUAUGUAUCUAUCUAUAUCUAUAUAUAUAAUAUACAUAUAAGAAUAGUUUGUCCACAAAUUCUUUUAUUGUAUGUUUAAUUCAAUAAAUUGUAUUUCAAAUAUUUUUUUAAAUUCUUAGUUUAUUUUUUAUUUUACACUUUAAAAUUGUAUAUAAAUUAAUAUUUACAAUUAAAAUUAUCUUGAUUAAAUUAAUUAAUUGCAUAUUUAAAAUUAUUUUGCUAAAAGUUUAAUUCAAUUAAUUAUAUAUCCAUAUUACUUUAUAGUUUUAGUUAUUAAAAUUUAUAAUUUUUGUAAAGGUGACUUUAACUUUAAGUUACAAGGUUAUUAAAUUGAUUAAGUGUGAGUUUGAAUGGGCAGUGCGGUGCAUUUAGCUUACUUUUUAUCUCACAUUAUCUCACCGUCCAUUCAAAUUCACCCUAAAUGUCUUUUUAAAGGUAUUAUUAUUUUAGCUCUCAUUAGAGUUACAAUUUGUGUUUUAUAUAAAUAUCAAACUUUUCUUAAUUUCAGCGGUGAAGCUAGGGCCUAGUAGGGGUGUUGUCCUUUAAAUGAAAAAUUUUCUAUUUAGGCUCAUUUAUAAUCUAUAAAAUUUUAAAUUAGUAAUAAUAAAAUUAUAUUUUGGCCCCCUAAAAGUGAUAAAAAUUUGAUUUAAUCUUUUAAAAAUUAUAAAGAUAUAGGUUAUUGAACAGGGGUGAAGCCAAGAAAUUUUUUUAGGUGGGGUUUAAAUUAAAUUGUAAGUUUUACAAUGCAGUUUUACCAUUUUAAUAACUUAUAUAUUUAUAAUUAUUAAAUGAUCAAAUCAACUUUUUAUCAUUUUUAAGGAGGCCAAAGUGCAAUUUUACCUUUACUAAUUUAAAAUUUUAAAAAUUUUGAAGGCCUAAAUAAAAAUUUUUCCAUUUUAGGGAGAUCUGGGCACCUGCCAGCCCCUAGCUACACCCUUACAAUUAAAAUGAUGAAAUUAUAUUUUUACUAUAAUAAAAAUAUACAAUUUAAUUCCGAUCCCAAAAAAUUUUCUAACUUCCCCUAAUUAAACCCAAAGAGUAGAAGAAAUAAGUAGCAAAAGUAUUAGAGAAUAUAGAUUUUUUGUCCCAUCAUUGUUUCUCUUUUUUAAGUUAUUUCCCAAUUUUUUAGUGGUGCAAGUUCAUAGUUGGUUUUUUUGUAAUUAAAAAGUUUGGAUAGGUUUUGGUGUCAGUUUAUUUUAUCAUAGAUGUAUAAGAUUUAUGCAAAUUGAUAUGUUGUUCACUACUAUGAAUAAUUCAUUGCAACAUAUCAACAUAUACAUCUUUUUCUUGGUUUUUAUUCUGGGAUUAAUAUAAUUUUUUUUUAUCUAUAAAUAUUUUUCACAUUCAGAUUUUAUACAAAUAAUUUACUAAAUUUGAACAAAAUGACUACAUAUCAACACAACAAUACAUCUUUUUCUUGGUUUUUAUUGUGGGAUUAAUAUAAAUUUUUUAUCUAUAAAUAUUUUAUACAAAUAAUUUAUUUUUAUAAAAAUAUUUCAUGACUUUCAACAUGGGAGUUAGUUUUUUUGUCAAAUUUUUUUAAUUUAUUUCAACUACUUUCAUGGGUUAUUUUGUCAUUUGGGACAUUUCUUUUUUACAAUUUGUUAACUUUGAUNNNNNNNNNNNNNNNNNNNNNNNNNNNNNNNNNNNNNNNNNNNNNNNNNNNNNNNNNNNNNNNNNNNNNNNNNNNNNNNNNNNNNNNNNNNNNNNNNNNNAAAUAAUAUAACUAAACUAACUACUUACUAUAUAUAUAUAUAUAUAUAUAUAUAUAUAUAUAUAUUAAGAGUAUCUAUAUAUUUAAACUCUGUUCUAUAAUCAGAUUUUUUUGAAGGAAUAUAAUUAAUUAUAUAUAAUAUUAUAUAAUUCAUGUUUAAGAAACAUAUUUUAUUCUCAAAAAACCAAUUCAGCCGAAAUGGCAGCUAAGGUCUAGGCGGAGGCUAUGUUCAAACUCUUAUUUCAAAUGUUUUUGAACCUUUGUUAUUCCUCUCUUUCAGCUGAGGUCUGAGGCUGCAGCCUCUACCCUCUUCUUUCAAUGGAAUAUUUUUCGAUGGUUGUUCUUCAGCUGCCUCUUGGCUCUUCUUCAACGGUAUGUACACUCAGUUUGUUUCUCUUCUUCAAGUUUGUAGUCUAAGUUGAUGGUGGCUAUAGUUUGGCUUCUUAAGCUUCUUAAGUUCAUGUCGAGUCUAUAUUCUGCUUAAGAAAAAAGAAACAUGUUGAUGUACUGUUUCAAGAGAGAUUAUAACUUGGAUGCAGUUAAGGUUCAGAUGUGCAGAGAGAGUAAGAUAAAACUUGGGUUAUGCUAAAUAUGAUCUGAGUUUUGGUAGCCCUUUCGAGCUUGGGAUUCUUGCCAGGGAAAAACCAAUUAAAAUAGAUUUCAGCCAAAUUACAAAGGCAUCCAACAAGACAGCAAACUGGCCAUUAUGCGGUUGAAAUGGCUAGAGCUUAUAUUAAAUCAAAUCAAAUUUGCAUGAUUUCAACAAUAUACAGAGAAUUAGCUGUAUAUUUAAUCAAAUAAGCUAAAGCUGAUCUGUUGAAUAUGUUUACUUUUCCUUCAAAGUACUUCCACACCAACUUAGCUUUCAAUGCCUGCAAAAAUCAAUAAAAAACUGCUAUUAUUCUAUUGUUCCUAAGGAAAGUUAGCUGUAUGAAACUAAAAAGCUCUGAAAUGUUUGAAAUGGUUUCUUGUACCUGUCCCAUGAUUGUGAAGAAACCAAUCACAGAUUUUGUGACUAAUCUUUCAAUCUGAUCUCCUCGGGGUGACACUUUUAAUUUCAACGUAGGUUAUGUGGGAAAUCUUAGACCACUCUUGUCCUUUAUCGCUUGAGCAGUCUUCUUUCAGCAACAGACAAUGCCUAAUAUAUAAAAGACCAAGCGAGAGUGUAAUUUUGCCCGGGCCAGAACUGAUUAAACCCAAAAAAAAAACAGUCCCAGUCCAUUACAACUAAAUUAGCCCAAAAAUACAAACGGCCCAAAUGGCCCAAUGACAAAAACCCUAGCCCAACAGAAUGGAAAACAAACAGCAAACCCUAAGCCUAAGCGCCGCAUGCCUAGGCUCCAGCGCUGCGCCGCAUGCCCAGGCUCCAACGCCGCGCCGCCGCUCUCCCUGCGCACGCCACCGCCGCUGCUCGCCUAUCGUCGGCCCUCCACGUGCGUCAGACCUCCUGCAAGAAAAGACAAAGGAAAAAAAACAAAAGAAAAGCAGCAAACAACAAACAACAAACAAACGCAAAACGACAAAAAAUAAUGAUUAAGAGUUGUUUAUAUCCGGCUAUAAGAGCCUAAAUUUCACCUCUGUAUUUUUUUUACACACAUUAAUAAAUUUAAAAAGCAGAACAGAAAUUUCGAAAGGUUGAUUUAAGUCCUUUACUGUUU